RNAcentral lists this long non-coding RNA (79783 nucleotides) under Sorghum bicolor (sorghum). Its description in RNAcentral is "long non-coding RNA (SBIC_LNC010838)". The stretch from base 36202 to 36308 matches the Rfam family "Plant small nucleolar RNA R71". Lineage: Eukaryota; Viridiplantae; Streptophyta; Magnoliopsida; Poales; Poaceae. The record is from RNAcentral.
UGUGGGCCUUUCUUCCGUAUUUCCUGAUAACCCCCUGCAGAAAUAGACAAACACCAAAACUUGUGGAAUUCUGUCAGAUAAAACCCUAAGUCUAGGUGUUGGUUGCAUUAGGAUCCUUUUCUAUGAUUAGUUGAUGGUUAAAUGUGAGCAUUAAGGACCGUCAACAAGCUCCCCCAAGCUUAACCUUUGCUGGUCCCUGAGCAAAGAUGGACUCAAGAGUUUCUGCAGUGGUUCUAUGCCUUAAAGAUACACAUGCGUUCAAACAAGAUCUCAUCUCUGGGUUAGGGUAAACUGUUAAGAUUUAAACUUACUCAUUUUACCUUCCACCAUGGGGCUUGUAACCGUCACUUGUGUCUUGAGCAGUUAAAAGAUAGAACGGUCUAGUCAAGCGCCAUGUCUCAUGUUCUUCGAUUAACUAUAGCUCUGGAGUUUUUGCAGAUUUUCAAAUAAAACUCAGAGAUUCCUUGUAUGACUUUCUCAGAUCUCUCUUUUGUGGUAUUUCUAGAUCCUUACCAAGGCAGUGAUGGUGUAUGCCUUCUCUCAAAGUAUGUGGUAUUUUUGGUAUGAGGCAUAGUGACAUUGCCUUCUCUCUCACCCUACUCUAAUAAGGCUCUUGAUAUCUGGAGCUCAUAGGUGGGAGACAGCUAAUACAUACUUACAAGACAUUUAUUGCAUAGUCAAACCAUGGAUCCAGAAGAAUAAGUCAAUAAAUCAAAUCAAGAUGUGCAUGUGUGGCAAAUGAAUGGUGUAUGGUGAUGAUGGUGAUAACAAUGGUGAAAGUCUAAUUCUACUUCUGCUCUUUUGAGGGGGUACAUACCUUCCUUGCUUUUUUGAAACUUUUUGAGGAGAAUGAGAUGCUCUAUAUUUUCUUUUUCUUUUCUCUCAGGUUGGUAUCUUGUACCCCUAAUUCUACUGUCGGACACUUGUCCAUUUUUACCUCUCGUCUCACUUUUUCUUUUCUUUUGAGGUUCCGGGCACUUGCCCCUUUUUAUUUCCUCGUAUUCUUUCUCUUUUUUUAGAGCACCUAUCUCCUGAAAUAAUAUAGCAAGUGGUAGUAACCAUGAUAACUUGAGCAUUUAUUUCACAGGGAAAAACAUAAAUGUUUUUGGCUAUUCUCUCCCUGAUUAGGAGUAGAAUAUUUUUGGGUGGUUCUAGAGAUGGAAAAGAGUGGAUGUAUGUGGAUGCGUACUUCCAGAGUAGGAGAAGCAUGUGUGAGUGAACAUGCAAGUGAAUCUUGAUUUAACCACAUGACAAGCUCCUAAGGGUCUACACAACUUGACCACACUCAAUGCUCAUAAGCAGUAAAAAGUAAAUGUGGCUCAAAGUCUAGCAAGCAUGUAUAUAUGGCUGUGGUAGGAAUUUAAACUCUCAUCAUACAGGAACUCAUCAUGUAACAUUUUAAAGAUUUUUAAAGAUAAAAUUCUCCAGAAUUCUAGCAUCUCUAGGAACAGAUAAACAGCAGCUCAACCUUCCCAUAUCGUAUCCGUUAACGACUUAGACUUUAGAUCAAGUACUCUCCCCACAAGUUCAGGCUUAGAGCAAAACUUAAUUAAUACCAGUCAUGCCUAAACUUGAGAGAGAUUUCAAUUUUGAGAACUAGUCAUUGCAGAGCAACUAUUCAUCAUUUCUAUGUGAGAGCUUAUCAUGAGGGUUCAUAGCAAACUUUAUUUAUUUAUUUAUUUAACAUGCUAAGCAAAGAUAUAUAUAUAAGCACAAAAUCUUUAUUUGGGUUUUUAUGAUUAUGCAUCUUUUUAUUAUUUGAGUAAAAUAUAAACAUGAGUAGAGCACUUAGCUGGAUAAAUGGGGUUGCUCUCCCCCAAGCUGGAUUUUGACGUAAUUCCUUCUGAUGUAGCUAGUAGGUGGCAGAGGUGUAUUUGAAUGUUGGCAGCACCCUGACAGCGAUUAGGAUGUCCUCCGUCUGCUAGUCUUCUUUGAUCCUUGAAUUAUGUGGAGCUCAAAUAGACAACAAAGCUUUGUGAAACUAGUUAAGUGUUAGCAUAAAUAUGUAGCCUUUAUCAUGUUGAGCCUCCUCAAUAAAUAUUACUUUCUUUGGUACAUAAAUUUAUUUUUAUAUUUUCAUUUUCAUAGGACAGGAAUAUAUUUAUUUCAUUUUUACGCCACCACAGUGAAUGUACUUAUGGAUUUGAUGCCAUGAGCAUACUCACAUGGGGCUUACUAUUUUUAACAUUUUUAUUUUCUUUUUAAGAUGAUAUGAACCUAAUUAACUAAGCAAAAUAUUUUAAAAUAAUUGAAAGGAAAAAAAUAACUACCAAGUUUACCUCUUGGCAAGGCGUUCGGUGUUUUUAAGUCCUCCGAACGGGACUCUCCGUUUUCUCAGUCGUCCUGGGAUUCGCUGGAUGGCGUAGUCGGUGGUUCCGGCGGCGCCUGGUCUUCAUGUAUAACUAUCUUCUCUCUCCACACCUGACUCGGUGCUACGGUUUCCUCAGGACAGCUCUGUUCAAGUUGUAUGUCUUCAGACCUUACCACUUCUCCUUCAUAGUCUGCCCAUCCGUCCUGGAUGAUUUGCCUUCUCUGGUUGCGGUUGCGUCGUCUUCUUCUUGUCCUGACCUGCUUAGAGUCUUCAACUAUAUAGUUAGGGUCAGUAAAAUAGCGGCGUACCUUCUCAGAGAGGAAGUGCAUGUGGACUUCUCUAAUUCCAAUGUAGAUGAUUGCUUUAACGGUGCUGAGGAACAGUCUCCCAAUGGUGAUGGGUGGAUUGUACUCGUCUUCUCCCAUGUCAAUAACCUUAAAAAUCAUCUGGAGCUGAAUGUAUGUUGGUUGUAGGGACAUGGUUCCAUGUAGGAGCUGAUAAGUGACUGCAGCCAUUAUGUUGACGUCAGAUCCGGUAUCGUAGAGUGUCUUCUGAAAAGAAUAUUCGUUGAUUGUGCACUCGAUGCUUGGAACACUAGGGUCGUCCAUCUUGAUCAAGAAAGGCGACUUGAUUUGACGAUCUUGACCUCCUUGAGCUGCAGUGACCAUCUUAGCGGACUCAGUCCACAUUUGCUUAUUCCUAUUCCCCCUGUUGAUCCUCUUCCUUGGUUCAUGUCGGGAUUGCUCUGAGACUAGUGUAGUCUUGUUCUUGAAGGAAAACGUCUCUUUUCUCCCCUUGAUGUAGAAACUAAUCUUGGCAGUACUAGCGUAGAUGACAGCUCCUGAGGUGUUUAGGAAUGGCCUCCCUAAGAUGACGGGUGCCCUCUCAUCAGAACUGGUUUCUAUCACCAAGAAGUCUGCUAGGGCGUACAAGGUACCAACUCGGACGUAGAGGUUCUUCAAUAUUCCCUUGGGGAAACUUAGCGUACGAUCUGCAAGCUGCAAACACAUGGCUGUUUCUAAUAAAGGAUGUGUAAAGAAUUUUUCAUAGAGUCCCUGGGCAUAAUGUUGAGGCUGGAGCCAAAGUCAUAGAGUGCUUCUGGGAAGUCCACCAUGCUGAUGGAGAUCGGGAUGACGGUGCGUCCUAGAUCGCCUCUCUUGACCGGCAGAAGGUCAGUAAUUACUUCCAUAACGGGGUUACUCCAGUAGUUAUGUCCUUAAGCAUCUCAAGGUAGUGAUUGCCUGAGUGUCCAGUAUCUCCAGUGUGUUUGUGCUCGUAGAUCUAGGUUCUUCACUUGGUGGAGUCUAGGAGUUGUAAAAGUCCUUCAUAUUUUGCUCGAAGUGUACCUGCUCAUAGAGACAAGGCAGAGAUCAAGUGCAUGGGCCCUGUUGGUGGAAAACACCAACAGAACCAAAAGUGUAUUUGUUCUUCUCUAACCUCAACCAUAGUGAGCAAGACAAAGUUGAUAAUAAGAUCAUGAGUAUAACAUUUAAAACAUUUGUCAGAUCAAAUCGCUAAACCUAAUGGAAAGAUAAUCUAUCUAUAUUUAUGUUGUUUGUUUAGAAAAUAUAUCUUCCAAAGAUUGAUUGUGCAACAUUUUAGCUCAUAUGAUUAGGAGUGUGGGAUCACAAAGGUGGAUGGACUAAACAUAUUGAAUCGAUUGGGUUGGCUAAUCUAGAGUUGUAAAUCAUACAUGUUUGUCUCUUUUAGUCAUGUGAACGCCAGAACCAAGGAGAAGCUUAUAAAAGUGAUAGUCAAGUACCUUAAGAUGUUAUCUUACUUGAAGAGUGAUGGUACAGUAUCUCCUUGUGGAAGCUUUCCUUACUUAGCGGUUGUGCAUCGUGUUUGUGGCACCCUCCAUGGAUCAUCUCUUAUGAGCUAUGCCUUCCUUGUGUAAAUUGUUAAACUUCAUGUGCUCUCUCUCUUUGUCUCCAAUGUGAGUAUAUCUCAGGACUUCCUAGGUUAAUAUUGAAAGUUUUCCUGCAGGGGUUAGUCCAACAAAAUAUCCAAUAUCUACUAUAGCAUUCUAUCGGCUCAAAAAUCAACCUAGACACCAUGUCUAAUUUGAUUUAGGAGAGCAUUUUAACCUAAGCAUCAUGCUUAAUUUAAAAUCCCUUGGAAAUAAGAUCAUCAUCCCUAAACUAAGCACCAUGCUUAAUUAAGAGAUAAAUGAAACUUCUCCAAACCUGGACAUAUACUAAAGCAAAUAAAGGUAGCAUGAGAGCAUUUAUAGAGUUCUACUCAAGUGGAGAUGAAGUAGUGUGAUUAGUAUUUAACAAAAUUGAGCAUGUCUUAAAGGUUGGGACAACCAACAUAGCAACAUGACAAAGGAUGUUUUUAAUGUAAAGUACUCCCCCAAGCUUGAAUUUUGCAAAAUUCAAGUUUGGAUGAAUUUAAUUCAAUGUUGUAUGAUGAUUGGUUGGACAUACCUCGUGCUUGUUAUUUAUUCGAUCUUCUUGCUCCAAUCCUGGAAAGGUUAGUGACACGAAUACCCGAAGGAAUAUUUUUACAAUUAUCCUUAUAUGCUCAAUACACAAGAUAAUGUUGCAAAUAAUUAAAAUCUCAUGUUACGAUCUGAUCAGUGCUUAUUUUAGGACACUAAGCUUGUCCCUGGGAAACCAUCAAUUUAUGUCGGCGAAGUGGUUUCCCCUCCAACGCUGACCUAUAUCAAGAUCAGCUCAACGAGAUAUGCAAUAUUUAUUAUAGACAUAUGCAUCGACAACCGCCCUUUUAAAGUUUUCAUAAAUAGAAAGGAUGAGGGGGUUGGAGAUCUCGAAUGUGGUGAUGUUGGAGAGACCAAUGGAUUGUGAAGAUGUUGCAUAUGAGCAUGGAGUAAAUGAAGUGGCUAUGAAAUAAUUUCCAUGUUCAUUAAUGCUUAGAGUGAAAUCCAUGUGGUAUGGUGAAAAUGAUAAGGUGAUUGUGGUAAAAAAGGAAAAGAAAAAGGAUACAUGGACGACUUGGUUCGAAACUAGCACAGCUACCGUUCCCCUGCAACGGCGCCAGAAAGCUUGUUGGGUAUUUUAAAUGCAAACAGAAAAAUCCGCAAGCGCAUGGAUACCGAUGUAGCCUUCACCCAGGAGUAUUCCAGAGUAUCGAUUUUCCACAGAGAACGUGAGUGUACUAAUUAAUAUCCAAGAUCGCCCAAGGAUAACUAUAUAAGUAUUUUUUGGUGAGAAGAGAGGAAGUUUCCUAAGAGUUCUCUAGUUGAUCUAAGAAUCAAGAAUUACUUCAAGAUUAUCUAUUUCGGGACAUCAGAGCACUAACCACAGAAAGAGAUGAGAAGGGGGCUAGGAAGGUCUGACUACGGUCCUACAAACACCAAUCCGAAUGAGGUGGAAUACGUCGACCGUUAGGGCUGUCACUACCCUAAGGCUACCACAACAAUCCGCAGGAUUGGGAGGAAUUCCAUGUAAUUGCAAGACUAAACACCACAUCUAAUCUAUUAAUUACUACUCUAAUGUUUCAAAGAUUAGAGCACUUGAUGCAAGCGGGAAUCCAAUAAAUAACUUGAAUGUAAAUAAAAGUAAUUAAAGAACUUAGGAAUUAUGAAUUGAAGAACCUUGAGAACGACGAAGAACGAACCAGUUGCUACAAAAGUACAAUGUUGAGGAAGAUCUGACAGAUCCGGCUCCUCCUCCGCUCUCCUCUUCUCUCUCCCUAUUUUCUAGAUUACAACUAGAACUAACUAGAACUAGAACUAGAGGAACUAGAACUAGAUGAACUAGAACUAGAUCUAGAUGAACUAGAGGUAGAACUAGAAGAACUAGAGGGAUCCUCUCUACUUGGAUGAAGAAUUGAAACCCUAGUUUGAUUCUGUAGAAGAGGUAUGAUCUCCAGGGGCCAGGGGGGUCUGGUUUUAUAGUCCCUUCAAGUGAAUAUGGGUCGUUGGAUCAAACCGACAUUGAUUGAACGGUUAUCCUUGAUCCUUUAGGUCGGUGGAGCAAUAUCCCGAAAGAGAGUCCUGAUUGGACUCUAUGUGAGGGCGGGCGCCUAGGAGAGUAGGGCGGGCGCCCUGUCCCUGAGUCCUCUUGGCUUCCCGUUCGUUCCCGUGGCUUCUGGAGUCUUAUAGAUGAUAGAAAAUUGCACGGCACGUUAAUAUCUCUAUGUAAACCCGACGUGUGGGCCUUUCUUUCGUAUUUCCUGAUAACCCCCUGCAGAAAUAGACAAACACCAAAACUCGUGGAAUUCUGUCAUAUAAAACCCUAAGUCUAGGUGUUGGUUGCAUUUGGAUCCUUUUCUAUGAUUAGUUGAUGGUUAAAUGUGAGCAUUAAGGACCGUCAACACUGAUGUAUCCUGAAUAGGUUGUGUGAGUAUAGAAUGGAAUCAAUAUAAAUUGAGGAAGUCAGGGAUUUACCUUGAAAGCUUGCGCCAAGGUUGCGGCAGCUACCGAUGGAGAUGUCUUUGCUCGUUUAGUGGUGAUCUUCUUGAAACGCACGCUCCGGUGCAUUAAAGCCGCAAAGCUUGGUGCGUUGUUGCCGAUCAGAGAGAUUAGGUCCGAUGGAAGGAGUUCGAUCGGCCUUCCGCUCCUGCUGACUGUCGGUGGUGUAUCGUUGACUUGUGUAAAACGGAGGAAGUAAGUUGCCGAUAAGAAUGAAAGUAAUAGAAGAAUUGAGGCAUCGGUUGAAAACUUACAGUGUUUUCGGAGACUUUGUAUUUGGAGUCGAUCAUACCGUGGUAUGUAAGGGCCGAUCUGCAGAACAGGUGCUCUUUCCAUUCCUCCCACCAUUGUUUGUAUGCCUGAGUAAUGAAGAGAGCUGGGAUCCAAGCUGAUAAAUCAAUGUCUGACGUAUCGGCAUUUGGUGGGAGUUGAUCUAUUCUGAUCCACUCAAGACCGCUAGUUAUGGUCUCCCUUGGCUUCACCACGUCGGCGUAGCAGAGUGCAAUCGGCAGCUGUUCGAAGGCCAGUUGACGAGCUAAUGCCAAUGGAUUAUAAAACUCAUAGGUGAGAUUAGAAGUUUUCCCACUGCCAAAGAAGUUUACUGGUAUAGCUCUCGGAGUGAUAAUUGCCAUCAUCAGAUCAUGGUCCUUGUUGAGGGCAUUAUCGAAGGGGUGGAAAGUGAGUGGGAAUCUGGUCUCUGUAUCCUCAUAGGGCAUCCAUGCCCGCUGGUCUUUGGUCAGACCCUCAUAGAGAGUCUGGAAGAAUCGGCUGACCUGGUCUUCAUUCCCACCAGUACCAGGUAAAACUAUGGCAGCUUCACCAUAGUUCAAAGGGGGGCGAGUUGCCGAUUCUUCAUCAUCCAAUUCAUAAUCUUCGGCUAUGUCUCUGGGAAAGAGCUAUGCAAAAAGAUCGAAUCCAAGGCGCUUAUGCAUAUGAACACUGAGCCACAUAUUGAUGAACCACCAUGGUCCCCCUAAGUUGCCGAUGGGUUGCCCUAGCAGGAGUUUCUCAGCUACCUGAUGGAGGAGGUGAUAGACAGAGCCAAGCAAAUAUCGGCCAAGAGGAAAUCGGGCACCAUUGGCCAGUCUUUCCGCUGCCGAUAGAUAGACAGAGGUUGGCCCUGCCGAUCGGCCACAGAAUACAAACUUAUCUAGCCACAUAUUUAGAAAAAUGGCAUGUUCCCUUUCCCCAACAAAUCCUGUUUUUCGGUACUUCUUAAUGUACCUAGACCAACCGCCGAUGCUGCGAGUUUCCACCUUGGAACUAGGCUUAUUAUUAAACAGAUGACUGCUAUCGGCAGUUGAUAUAUCUAAGCUAGUGAGCAUAAGCACAUCGGCAAGAGUAGGAGAAGCAGGACCAUGGCCGAACACAAAAGCAUUAAGGGUGUCUGACCAAAAGUAUGAGGCAGCUAUCAGCAGCGACUCGUUCCUCUCCAUAUCGGCAAUGGAUAGCCUAAUGCACUGGUCCAAUUUCUGUUCACCCCACUGGACUUCGUUUGAAUUGCCGAUUCUCAGGAACCAGUCUUUCCAUCCCUUGGUGGGACUAGGCCAGGAACAGAAAGUAUCUUUCCACAGAUCUAAGGAGAAAUUUUUGGCUCUAAAAGGGAUCCUAUUUGUCUCUACGUUUAUCAGAUCGGUGGGAUCUGGGUUUCCCAAUGGACCAAUGCACUGGAAGUGAGGUUGAUCGGUAGGAAUCACGAUCUUAUCGGCCAACUCCUAAGCGGUUUGGAGGAUGAAGGAACAAAAAAGGAGAAAAAAAGAAAAAAAGGUACUCAGUAAAUAGAUUUGUAGAUGAACAGGAGUACAGCAAAAGCAUAAAAGAAGGGGGUGGUAAGUUGACCUCAGAGAAGACGAAGUUGAUGGCCAUUUCUUCUCGAAAGAAGGAAGAGAUCGAAGACUCGGAGGAUUGCUGAAGGAAAUUGUUGCCGGAGUUCUUGAAGUUCUCGAACGGUGCCGCCGCCAGGAGGCUGGAUUUGAGGCUGUAGAAUGACAAGAUGGAGGAAGAGUACCGGAGAAGGAGGUAUUUAUAGGACAAAAAAGGUAGGGGCAAAUCUGACUUAUCUCUUUGCCACAUCCGUAAAAUCUGAGGGUGUUCAGGUGGAUAUGGUAACUGUUCGCACGAUAAUCAAGGGAUUGCGUAGUUGAUUUGACAGCAAGCGGUCGUUUUAAAGAUAUCUUACUGUGUAAGAUCGCCUGGUCGGUUCAUCACCAGUCUUCUCUAACGGUAAUAUUGCUGAUGAGCGCAUUAUGGGGAGACUCGGUUCGAGAAGUUGGGAAAUUCGAGGUACAUGUUGUAAGACCGGGCUGAGGUUGUUCAGAUUUGAUGAUUAAUUGCUAAUCGGAAGGAGUAAUUAUGGAAAGGCGUCAUUACUGAGGAGAGUUUCAGAGCAUUAAUUAUUUUAUACUCUGAAAAUGGGGGGCAUGUGUUGACACCGUUUUUGGACACAUAUCUUUGAAUAUGUAUCUGGAGUUAAUGAGGAGUAGAUCGGCAAGCAGGAAGAUGGUGGCUGGUUUGCAGAUGAGUUGCCGAUGGGGUUGGUGCAGAUGGGAGAACGACAGAAUAUGACUAAGUCCAGGAAGUAGUGACGGGAUCAUGCCGAUGACUAGGACUGAUGGUUGCCGAUGACGGUGGAAGGCGGUCUGCCGAUGGUCAUGGAGAAAGAUGCAGGGGUUGCUGGUUGGCUCAUAACAGCGUACCGAUCGGUUGUGGAGGAUAGUUUAAUCUUUUCCCUAGUUAUUAGAGUUUGUUUUGUAUACGGAUUCCGUUUAAUUUGGAAUUUGAGUUCUAGUCGUGUCUGGUUGUAGUUCUUUGGGACAGGAUAUAAAUUUUGACCCCGUGGCAAUGUAACGAGACAUCUAUCAAUCAAUCAAUCACAAGUUUUUACACAUAUUCUAGCAUCUACUUUUCGACGACUUCGUCAUAUUUUAUUUUUACUACGAGUUCUUAGGAAUUCGUCAAGUGAAACUCGACGUGUUCUCAAGUUACGCGUGAACACCUCUUGGCCGUGACAUCCGGGCGCAUCGCUGUUGUCGGGACUAAAGUGUUCGAGUUACCACCUUUGUCGAUUGUAAGGUCAAAUCGGCUGGCUCGCCUUAACGUUUAAAUCGGAUAUUAGCCCUUUGUGUUUACAGAUCAGCUUUUGCAUCAACACAUCUUUUGGCAUGCCCAGUGGGACAGAGAUUCAAGAUCAAGAUCAAUAUGUCGAACACCGAUUCUGACUUGGAGAACGUUAUUCCCGUGACGGAAGCCAAUCUCAGAGAUGAGCAGAAGCAAGCUACGGCAAAAGCCAUGAAGCCGUAUGGUCGUAUCGGAUGGCAUGUCAUGAUUCAACCAAAGUGUCACCUUAUCAACUAGUGUAUGGACAUGAUGCAGUACUACCUUGGAAAUUAAAACUGGUUCUAGGUGAAUGCUUUCUCAGGAUCAAUUAACUAUCGAUGACUAUACUCUGAUGAAAGAGCUUUAAUUAGCAUAGAAGAAAACAAAAAGAGAAUGGCUAAGUGGUAUGAUAAAAAGGUGAAGGCCAAGGAAUUUGCCGAUGGGGAUUUGGUUUGGAAAUUAGUUUUAUCGAUUGGGACUAAAAGCUCAAAAUUUGGAAAAUGGUCUCCUAAUUGGGAAGGUCCUUAUCGGAUAAAUCUGUCUGCCCCAGGCAACGCCUAUAUUUUAGAAACUCUCGAAGGAGUUGAAUUCCAAAGGGCGUUAAAUGGAAAGUACUUAAAAAGAUACUACCCCAGUAUCUGGGUUAAUGCAUAAAAGUAUAUAUAUGCCGAUAACAGUCCUAUCUGCUGGAUGAAAUGAUAGUGUGUCUGAAGCAAUGCAUAAGAAGUUUAGGUGUCGAUAACAAUCCUAUCGGCUUGAUCAAAUACUGGUGUUUUCAAAAGAACUGAUGAGGCAUACUGCCGAUGAAAGGAUUUACACGUUCAGCAAAGUCUGGAUGGCCGAUAUGACAGGCAGGCGAAUCUGAUUGGCUUCCGCUAUUUCUUUGGCAUCUUCAUCGGCAGAGCAUUCCACUGGUUUCAACUUUUUCUUCAUUUGCAAUACCUUGCAAGCUUGUGCAUCCCUCUCUUGUUGAAGAUGAGCGCAUCGGGUAGUUGACUUUCUUCCUAUUGAGCCUGGGACAAAGCUUCCUCCACUUGUUUAAGCUCAGCAAGCAAGGCCUCUCUUCUUGCCGAUAGAUCAGAAAUCUUCUGUUUUAAUUCAUCACCUGAAGAAUGCAGAAUGCUGAUGCUCUUAUGCUUUUCAUCGGCAGCGUGCUUCACUUGCAGCAUCCCCUCUUUAAGCUGGGUGUGAGUGGCUCUAUCGGCAAGGCGUUGGACGGCCUUUUGGUAUUGAAGCUGGCGACUCUCUUGGUUAGCCGCUUGGAAGAGCAUCUCCUCGACAUCGACAGGAAUUUGGCCACGGAGAGUCUUAAAUAUGACUUUGGCUAGAUCAGAAUCAUCUACCAGCUGAGCUGUGUCUUCCUGUAAUAGGGCCAGUAAGUCUUCCAGCUUGGAUUUGAUCUCUGCCGAUGCGAUUCCAAGUGCUAAUGAAGAGCUUUCUUCUUCACCUUCAUCAUCAGAGAUGUCGAUGGCAAAGGAGAACAAGCUAUCGGGAGAAUCUUGCUCCUAGGGAAAGAAGAGGAUAAGUUAACCAGAAUUAAGUAUCGAUAAUGCAAAGUCUGAUGGAUCAAAUGACUUACUUAUUUUAAAGCAAUCUCUUGUGUCUGGCAUGGAGAUGAAGCUUGCACUAUAAUUUGAUCGGCUAGAGCUGCCGAUGGAAUAUCUUCAACUGAAAUUUACCAAGGGUGACGAUGGUAUUUAUAAAAUAAGUCAUCGGUAAAGAUUAUGUGAUCAGUAUUGUUGACACCGUUUUUGGACACAUAUCUUUGAAUACGUAUCUGGAGUUAAUGAGGAGUAGAUCGGCAAGCAGGAAGAUGGUGGCUGGUUUGCAGAUGAGUUGCCGAUGGGGUUGGUGCCGAUGGGAGAACGACGGAAUAUGACUAUGUCCAGGAAGUAGUGAUGGGAUCAUGCCGAUGACAAGGACUGAUGGUUGCCGAUGACAGUGGAAGGCGGUCUGCCGAUGGUCAUGGAGAAAGAUGCAGGGGUUGCCGGUUGGCUCAUAACAGUGUACCGAUCGGUUGUGGAGGAUAGUUUAAUCUUUUCCUUAGUUAUUAGAUUUCGUUUUGUAUAUGGAUUCCGUUUAAUUUAGAAUUCGAGUUCUAGUCGUGUCUGGUUGUAGUUCUUUGGGACAGGGUAUAAAUUUUGACCCCAUGGCAUUGUAACGAGACAUCUAUCAAUCAAUAAAACACAAGUUUUUACACAUAUUCUAGCAUCUACUUUUCGACGACUUCGUCAUAUUUUCUUUUUACUACGAGUUCUUAGGAAUUCAUCGAGUCAAACUCGGCUUGUUCUCAAGUUCUGCGUGAACACCUCUUGGCCGUGACAUCCGGGAGCAUCGCUGUUGUCGGGACUAAAGUGUUCGAGUUACCACCUUUGUCGAUUGUAAGGUCAAAUCGGCCGGCACGCCUUAACGUUUGAAUCGGGUAUUAGCCCUUUGUGUCCGUAGAUCAGCUUUUGCAUCAACAAGUACUUUACCUUGAGGAGGGAUAACAACUGUCUGGUCAGGGAGAACGGCCGAUGAUGUGCCUAGAUCAACUGGAUUGGUGACCUGUUGAGAUACAUCGACUGGGUCUAUUUGCGUUUGAGGCACUGGAUGAGGUGGAGAAGAAGGUGUUGCUUGAAUCUGGGAUGCUAGAUGAGGUGGAGAGGAUGGUGCUGUCUUCUGUCGCUUUGGCUGGGUCUUGGUGCUUUUUGAGCCCUUUCUCUUAGGGAGAGCUUGACUAGGCUAGGAGUCAUCAGCACCCGAUGAUUGAGUGCUCUUGGUCCUUGCCGAUGCGCCGGUCUGCUAUUACAAAAAAAAUCAAAGUUCUAUGGGUUAGAUGUAAAAGCAGAAAAAAUAUUGUUGGAAUUUGAAAGAAUAGAAUGCUUGGUACAAAACAAAGUUACCCAUGACGUUCCAGUCGUGGCCGAUGCACCCUGAAAGAAUAAUGUGAAUAUGGGAUGAAAUUGGUAUAAUAGAAAUUUGAAAAUCUUACUUUGAAAGCUUGUGCUAGCGUGGUGGCAGCUACUGAUGGAGAAGUUUUCGACCGUUUGGUGAUCGUCUUCUUGAAGCAGAUGUUUCGGUGCAUCAGGACUGCUAGGCUUGGCGCGUUGUGACCCAUCAAAGAAACUGGGGAUGAUGGGAGAAGGUUGAUCGGCUUCCUACUUCUGCCCAUUGUCGGUGCUGGGUCGUCAACCUAUUGAAAUAAAAGGGGGUAAGUUACCGAUAGAAUUAAAGUUAACAAAAAUAUCGAGUAUCGGAAAAGAAACUUACAACAUCACCGGGGACUUCAUGCUCGGGAUCGAUCAUGUUGCGGUACAUAUGAGCCGAUACCUUGAACAGAUGCUCUUUCCAUUCUUCCUGUAACAGAACCGCCCAAAUUAUAAGAUAUUAAGCCUGAUAGUGACCAUUUGCACAGUCAAACGACCGAGCUUAAGCCCGUAUAAUCCCGGUAGUCCGUGAAAUCUCGAAGGAUUUCAAACCACAAUUCGUACAUACAGCCAAGAUCGUAAUAAGUUCAGCAGUCACCAUUCAUGAUUACAUCUAGUUUACCACAUUCAUAAAAAUACAUCGGAGUACUUAAAAUUAUUACAAACCAAGUUCUCAAGUAGCGGAAGCUUCAUAGUUCGAAAAUAUCACACACACAUUUAGUCUGGUACAGUGCCAUAGUUCGGUCAUUCCCACAAAAGCAAAAGAGAAGGUGGAGUGACCAUCGCCCUUGGUCUAGUCAUCGCCCAUUGCUGGGAACAAGCAGAGGAUGCAAUAACCAUAGUACAUUUGACCAUCUGCAAAACAACAUGAGAAUAAAACCCUGAGUACGAGAAUGUACUCAGCUAGACUCACCCGUCAUAACUAAAAAUAAAGACUCUUCAUGGAUCAUGAAGGCUGUAUGGUGGGGUAGCUAAGACUUUUUGCAUAAAAGCAUUAUUCCACUAAGCAUAGCCUAGAGACCAUUCUUCUCUUAAUUAGCUCAAGUUUGAUAAUAUCAUUACCUAUUAUCUAGGUUUGCACCUGUACUAUUACAAACAAGUGUAGAAAUAUGAUGGUACCUCAUCAUAGCAUUCAUAAACGAUUUAUCAUCAUAACCCAAGUGUUCCACAGUCCUUACUACGAGGACGAAGCUCAUGUCAAGUGCUCACUAUCUAGGAGCGAUGGCGAUUCGAAUCGAUUUCUAACCAGCUGGCGAGUUAUUCCCCACACAAACCACACUCACUGAUCAAGUGAGCUACAGAUCACCGUGUUACACUAUCCAGGACCAAUUCGCGGGUUCGGCAGGCACCGCCAGUACCCGAGGACCGUUUCGGCGACCGAGGUAUCCAAGGUAUGCCAAGGUUGCGCGCCGCGCCCUCGUCGCUCUCCUCAACCAUCACCAAUACAGCGCAUGGCGGCUCGACUCCCGGCCCGGAUAGUGUUCAGGCUUCACGGUUGGAACGACUUAUCCUUCCAGCUAAGUGUGGGGCAUGCGUUCAACAUGACAAGAGGGCCGUCAACGAUCGGUCCUUAAUCGACACAGGCAGGGGCACUAUGGUCAACCCACCAUAAGACCCUGCCCGGUCUCAAAUUCCUUUCCUCACUUGGUUAUUCUUCCCCAUAGCAAUUACAACUAAUCAAACAGGUGUCCACCUAUAUCUCGCAGGUGACAGGAAAUCACCCGACUUCUACCGGACUAAGCAAGCUAACCAUAGACUCCAUGCCUAUCUACAUAGGACAAGGUAGAUAAACAAGUGGUGAUAUCAAGGAGUACAUAUGCAUCAACGGUAUCAAGCAAUUCCUAUCACUUAAAUGCAACAUAGUAGAACAGGCAUAACAUAUCAUAUAAGUUAGCAAGAAUAUGGAGACUUAGAAUGCUCCGGGGCUUGCCUUUCUCAAACGUGCUCGGCUUGUGAUCCGGGCACUCCUGCAGCUCUUCUCCGAGCUCCGGUCCUCCCAGAGGUUCCUGCUCCUGUGUCUCCCCCGGCUCCUCGGGUCCCACCUCGUUCUCCUGCGAGCCUGUAUGAUGUAUGUGUGCUCAUGAGUGGAGUGCGUGAUGCCCGGGAUGCAAUGCUUAUGCAAGUGGGUAACAGAUGACUAUGACAUGGUGCAUAGAUGAUAUAGGUGGUUAUUUCUACAAGGUAGUCAACAUCAUCCAAGAACAUGUAAUCGAACUACACAUCUAUUACAUUCUCUUCUACAAGUUGUCUUCUUGGUUAACCAGCAAGCUCACAUGAUGCUUCAAAGAUACACCAAACACCCUCUUACUUUAUUUAAUCUAUGUAUAACAAUUCAUAAUUUAUUUAUCCACUUUUAGGCCUACAAAAGUAGCAUAUAUUUCUGUCUAUCAAUAAAUUCCACAAAAAUUAUAGCAGAUCACCAGUCAACCAUAAAGUCUACCAUGAAUUUCUCAUAAUAUUUGGAUAUUUAUUUUGGGCUACAAAAAUCACAAGAUUAAUCCAUAUAAGCAAGUAUAAAUACCCUACUGUUGACCAAGUGUCAAACAACAGAUUUCAUAUUUUUAUAAAUUACUUGUUAACAUAAGAAACAUCCACAAAAUUUUCCAGAUUAAUUGCAUGAUCCAUUUAUUUAUUAAAAAUCAUAAACCACGGCCAUGCAAGUAUUUAAAUCACCAUAAAUUAACUCAUACAGCAAAUAAUGUGUAACAUAUUUUUCCCAGAGCCUACUCACCCAUGCAGAGCCAACAAAAUAAGUUUCAUAUUUUUCUGAGCUAUAUUUUAAUUACUGUGCAUUUUCCAAUUUUUAGCAAAAACAUGGAUUAAAUAUAUUUGUACAGAAAAGUUUUUCAAAUAUAACAUGCAACCACACCAAAGUAUAGAUCUGGAAUUAUAGAGUUCAUCAAAAUUUAUUUCAUCAAUUUUGAAGCUGUAGAACUGAAGUUAUGAAAUAUACAAGAUUUAAUCAAAUUCUGAAAACCUUUAUUUAAGAAAAACAGACAGAAAACGCUAGAUCCACCCAAAUUCACACCUGCAGAGGCGCUGACAGGCGGGACCCAGGGGUCGUGGCCCCACGGGUCAGCCACGCCGCACUCCGGCCGACUUCGGCCGGCCGGCUCUCGCCGACGGCGAGGUCUCCGGCCACGGGGUGAGCACCAACGUGCUCCCCGUAGCGAGGCACACCCAAGGGUGCCCUUGGAUCGGCCGGAAGAUGACCGGAGCACCCCCGCGAGCAUGCAUGGCGGCACGGCGGCGCUGCUCGCCGUGGCCAGGGUGCUCUGGUGCGGUAGAACGCGCGCGGGUACUCGUCCGAGCUUCCUCACCGAGCUACGAACCUAACGCGCUCGAAAGCAAGCGAAACGAGGCAAGAAUGAGUAAGUUGCGACGCAGCGGAGCACUCCGACGAGGUCGGGGAAACUCCGGCGAGCGAUUCAGGGCGUGCGGCGGUCUCUCACCUCGGUAGAGCGUGCGCAGAGGCUUACCGCGGCGAAGACGAGUGCAGCGGUGGUUUUGGCGCCGAGGAUGGGUCACUGGCGUGGCCGGCGGUGAGCGGCGGAGCUCUCCGGCGUUGGCGCUGCGGCGGAGUUGCUGCGGAUGCUGCGCUCGUGAGCGGAGGAAGGAGAGGGGAGCGGGGACGGGACAGAAUGGAGUGGCCUGGGGGCGCGGGGCGGCGUCUCGACCAGGUUAAGGCCGAUCGGCCGCGGCGCGUCCACGACGCCGACGUACGGCCGCCACGUGGCCGACGUCGGGUGACGAAGGCGGGCGUCCGCGCGCGGGAGAGAGAGGGAGGGGAAACCGGGCCGCGCUGUCUGGCUGGGCCGAAACGGAGGCGGGUCGGCCCAGCAGCGCCUGCCCCCUUUCCUUUUUUUCGAAAUUAUUUUCCCAAAAAGCUUAAAUGAGACUUUUGAAGCUUUUACAAAACUUUUUAGGGGUUGGAGUAAAAAAGAAUUGUUCCCCACAAAAUUCUCUACAACUUUGUUCUAAUAAGCAAAGCCAAAUUCCAAAUAGAAUUUGAAUCACAAAUUAAAACUAGUCCUACGUUUUUAAUAAAUUCAUUUUUAGGGAUUUUUGUAUAAAUUCCAUUUCUCAAUUUCUAUAGCUCCAAAAAUAUCACAAAAUUACUCUUAAAUCCCCUAACACAUAUUUCAACCUAAUUUGGACAUUUCAAGAAUUUUAGAAACAAGCAUAAUAUUUUUACCAUAUUUAAUUCACAUAAAGUGAAGCACAUAAAAUCACACUUGAAUGAAUGACAUGCUCAUGUGAUGCUAUGCUUGAUGAGAAUGCUUGUGGAUGGUUUAUGAGACUAAGUGCAUGCUUAACACCAAGGGUGGUACAGCCCUUCCCCCCUUAGGGAAAUCUCGUCCCAAGAUUUGGGUUACUAACCAUUUCUUAUGAAACUUUGGGUAAACUAUUUUUAGGUAAUCCUCGGUUUCCCAGGUGGCAUCUCUAUUGUCGUGAUGACUCCACACCACCUUGUAAGUCUUGACAACUCUAUUCCGGGUUACCGCUCCUUGGUAUCUACGAUACCCACCGGUUGUUCUUUAUACUCUAAGUCUACCUUUAUCUUGAUUCCUCGAGGUUCAAUCCUUUGCUCAGGUACUUUCAAACAUUUUCGCAGCUGUGACACAUGGAAAACUAGAAAGAUCGAGCUCAACUCCUCUAGUAACUGGAUCUUGUAGGCCACAAGGCCUUCUCUUUCUAGUAUCUGAUACGGUCCCACAUAUCGGGGUGCAAGCUUGCUUCGAACUCGGAAACGCUGAACUUUCUUCAUUGGCGUAACCUUGAGGUAAACAUAGUCACCUAAAUUGAACUCGAGUGGUCUUCUUCGCUUGUCUGCAUAACUCUUCCAUCGUGAUUGCGCCGCUCUCAUGUGUUGUUGUAUAAUUUGUACUUUCUUCUCAGCUUCGUUCACGAUGUCGAUACCAUUGUAUCUCCUUUCACCAGGUUCAACCCAGUUUAAUGGAGCCCUGCAUCUUCGACCAUAUAAAGCUUCGAAUGGAGCCAUCUUGAUACUCUCCUGAUAGCUAUUAUUGUACGAGAAUUUAGCCAAAGGUAACCAUGAUUCCCAUGAUCCCUUGGAUGAUAACACACAGGCCCUCAACAUAUCUUCGAGCACAUGAUUGAGUAUUUCCGUUUGACCUGAAGUUUGGGGAUGAUAUGCGGUACUCCUUACCAGACUAGUCCCCAAACUCUUAUGCAUUCGUUCCCAGAAAUGAGCAGUGAACUACGGUCCUCUAUCUGAUAUGAUGGUCUUAGAAAUACCAUGUAGCUUGACGAUCUCAGCUAUGUAUAUAUCAGCAUACUCAGGAGGUCGGUACGUGUUCUUAACAGGAAUGAAAUGAGCCGACUUGGUCAAUCGGUCGAUGAUUACCCAAAUCGAGUCAUUCCCCUUUCGUGUUGUCGGUAAACCUGUGAUAAAGUCCAUACUGACCUCUUCCCAUUUCCACUCUGGGACUGACAAUGGUUGCAACAGACCUGCAGGUUCAUAUGUAUAGCCUUGACUCUGCAACAUGUGUCACAACGGGCCACAUAUGUUGCUAUCUCUUUCUUCAGUUUAGUCCACCAAAAGUGAGAUCUUAGGUCUUGAUACAUCUUACUACUGCCAGGAUGAAUAGAAAGCUUGGAGAGAUGUGCUUCAUCCAUGAUGCGAUUCUUUAAUUCCCGAUUCUUCGGAACUACCAGCCGGUGCUGAAACCACAAUACCCCUUUUUCAUCAACCCGGAACUGAGUUUUUGGGUCGUUUUUGAUCUUUUCUUUGAUGUGGAAAAUACCCUUGUCUGUUUUCUGACCCUCGAUGACUUGACUUUCAAGUGAACAACUGAGCUGUAUGUGACAUAAGACUUCAGGAUGCAUUAGAUUGAAACCAUCCUCAAACAACGGUUGAACCACUUGAUAGUGCGGUUUGCGACUCAAAGUGUCUGCUACCACGUUAGCCUUGCCUGGAUGAUAGUGCACUUCUAGAUCGGAAUCUUUGAUCAGCUCCAACCAUCUUCGUUGCCUCAUAUUCAACUCGGACUGAGUGAAGAUGUACUUCAGACUUUUAUGAUUUGUGUAGAUAUGACACUUAUUUCCUAACAAAUAGUGCCACCAGAUCUUCAAAGCGUGCACCACUGCUGCUAACUCGAGGUCGUGAGUUGGGUAGUUGACUUCGUGCUUUCUCAACUGUCGUGAAGCAUAAGCUAUAACUCUACCAUCUUGCAUCAGCACACAUCCUAAACCACUUUUCGAUGCGUCGCAAAACACAUCAAAAGGCUUCUCGAUAUUGGGUUGCGCCAGAAUGGGAGCGGUGGUUAGCAACUUUCGCAAGGUGCGGAAGGCUAGUUCACACCCUUCCGUCCAGACAAACUUAUGAUCCUUUUGUAGCAAACUGGUCAUUGGCUUAGCAAUCUUGGAAAAGUCGGGUAUGAAACGACGGUAAUACCCGGCUAGGCCAAGAAAGCUUUGAACUUCCGAGACAGAAGUUGGUGCCUUCCAGUCCAUGACUUCCUAUACCUUUGACGGAUCCACAGCUGUUGGUGCAAAAGCUGAUCUGCAAACACAAAGGGCUAAUACCCGAUUUAAAAGUUAAGGCGUGCCAGCCGAUUUGACAUUACUAUCGGCAAAGGUGAUAACUCGAACACUUUGGUCCCGACAACAGCGAUGCGCCCGGAUGUCAAGGCCAAGAGGUGCUCACGCGGAACUUGAGAACUCGCCGAGCUUAAGUCGAUGAAUUCCUAAGAACUCGUAGUAAAAAGGAAAAAUAUGACGAAGUCGUCGGAAAAGUAGAUGCUGGAAUAUGAGUAAAAAAACUUGUGUUUGAUUGAUUGAUAGAUUUUUCAUUACAAGGCCCUAGGGUCUACAUUUAUACCCUGUUCAAAGAGCUACAAUCAGACACGACUAGGACUCAAAUUCCAAAUUAAACGGAAUCCGUAUACAAAACGAAUUUAAAUAACUAAGGAAAACAUAAAACUAUCCUUCUGUAACUGAUCGGGACACCGCCACAGAUCAAUCGGCAAUCUCCACGCUUUCCUUCAGAGUCAUCGCCAGACCUCCUGUUAUGGCCAUCGGCAAACACUAAUACUGAUCAUCGGCACGAACACGUCACCACCUCUGGAUUUAGUCACAUUCAACUGUCUCUUCAUCGGCAACCACCUUCAUCGGCAACUUCCCUGCAGACUAGGUACCGUUGCUCCAUCUGCCGAUCUAUACUUUACUGAUUCCCGGGUACAUGUCCAAAAAUGGUGUCAAUAGAUGCCCCCUAAUUUCGGAGUAUAAAAUCAUUAAUGCUCCAAAAUUCUCUACAGUAAUGAUGCCUUUCCGCAAUUAAUUCUCCUAAUUUGGUAACCGUUCAUCAAAUCCGAACAACCUUGGCCCAAUUCUCUUGCAUAUUCCUCGAAUUCCUCAACCUCCCGGACUAAACCUUUCCACUUUAUGCGCCCAUCGGCAAUAUUACCAUUAGAGGGAACUGCCGAUGGACUGACCAAGAGAUCUUGUACAGUGAAAUAUCUCCAGAAUCAUGACCGCUUGCCGUCAAAUCAUCUGCGCAAUCCCUUGAUUAUCGUGCGAACAGUUACCAUAUCCACCCGAGCACCCUCAGAUUUCACGGAUGCGGCGAAGAGAUAAGUCAGAUUUGCCCUUGCCCGUUUUGUCCUAUAAAUACUUCCUUCUCUGGUACUCCUUCUCCAUCUUGUCAUUCUACAGCCCAAAACCCACUUCCACAGCGGCGGUGCCAUCCGAGGUUUCCAAGAACCCCAACGAAGGCCUUCUUCACCAGUCCUCCAAGUCUUCAACCCUUUUUCUUGCGAGAAAAUGGCCAUCAACUUCAUCGUGCCUGAGGUCAGUUCACCACCCUUCUUUUCCGCAUCUUUACUGUACUCCUAUUCAUCCGCAAUUCAUCUUACUGAAUACCCCUUUUUCUUUUUUGUUCUUCUUUUUAUCCUCAAAAACCUCUAGGAUUUGGCUGAUAAGAUCGUUAUUCCUACCGAUCAACCGCACCUCCAAUGUCUUGGCCCGGUAGGAAACUCAGAUCCCACCGAUCUGGUAAACGCAGAGACAAAAAGAGUUCGUUUUAGAGCCGAAAACUUGUCCCUAGAUCUAUGUAAAGAUGCCUUCCGUUCCUGGCCCAGUCCUACCAAGAGAUGGAAGGAUUGGUUCUUGAGAGUCAGCCACUCAAAUGAGGUUCAAUGGGGUGAGCGAUAAUUAGAUCAGUGCAUUAGGUUGUCUCUUGCCGAUAUGGAGAGGAAUGAGUCACUACCAAUUGCUGCCUCCUACUUUUGGUCAGACACGCUCAACGCUUUUGUCUUUGGCCAUGCCUCUGCUUCUCCUACACUUGCCGAUGUGCUCAUGCUCACCGGCUUAGAUAUAUCCACUGCCGAUAACAGCAAUCUAUUUGACACCAGACCCAGUUCUAAGGUAGAAACUCGCUCUAUCGGUGGUUGGUCUGGGUAUAUUCAGAAAUACCGAAGAACAGGACCUGUUAAUCCAAAGGAACAGACCACUUUCCUGAAUAUGUGGCUAGAUAAGUUUGUAUUCUGUGGUCGAUCGGCAGGACCAACUUCUAUCUACUUAUCGGCAGCAGAAAGAUUAGCCGAUGGCGGCAGAUUCCCGCUUGGCCGAUACCUGCUCGGCUCUCCUUAUCAUCUCCUCCACCAAGUAGCCAGGAAACUCCUGCUCGGCCAACCCAUUGGCAACUUAGGGGGUCCUUGGUGGUUUAUCAACAUGUGGCUAAAUCUCCACAUGCACAAGCACCUCGAAUUCGACCUUUUUGCACAGCGCUUCCCCAGGGACAUAGCCGAGGACCAUGAACUGGAUGAAGAAGAAUCAGCAACUCCCUCUCCCUUGAACUUUGGCAAGGCUACCAUAGUCUUACCUGGCACUGGUGGCAAUGAAGACCAGGUUAGCCGAUUCUUUCAGACUCUGAUGAAGGUCUGACCAGAGACAGCGGGUGUGGAUGCCUUAUGAAGAUCCAGAUUCCAGAAUUCCCCUGAUCUUCCACCCCUUCAAUGAUGCUCUCAACAAGGACCGUGACGUGAUGAUGGCAAUUAUCACCCCAAGGGCCAUACCGGUGAACUUCUUUGGCAGUGGGAAAGCUUCUAACCUGACCUAUAAAUUUUAUAACCCAUCAGCACUAGCUCGCCAACUGGCUUUCGACCAACUGCCGAUCGCACUUUGCUACACCGAUGUGAUAAAGCCGAGGGAGACUAUCACCAGCAAUCUUGAAUGGAUCAGGGUAGCUCAGCUUCCGCCAAACGCUGAUACAGAUGUCGAUCUAUCGGCUUGGAUCCCAGCCCUCUUCAUUACUCAGACAUACAAACAGUGGUGGGAAGAAUGGAAAGAGCAUUUGUUCUGCAGAUCGGCCCUCACAUACCGUGGUAUGAUCGACCCCAAAUACAAAGUCCCUGACAAUACUGUAAGUACUUUAAACCGAUGCUUCAAUCCUUUCACUUUUAUUUCCCAUCGGUAACUUACUUUCUUUGUUGUAUACAGGUCGAUGAUACGCCACCAUUAAUCAGCAGGAGUGGCAUGCCGAUUGAACUCCUUCCAUCGGGCCCAAUUUCUUUGAUCGGCAACAACGCCCCAACCUUGGCUGCUAUAAUGCAUCGGGGUGUGCGUCUUAAGAAAGUCACCACCAAGCGGACGAAAACAUUCCCAUCGGUAGCUGCCACUGCUUUGGCACAAGCCUUCAAGGUAAAUUCUUAAAUUCUUCAACUUAUACUGAUUCCAUUCUUAUACUUACACAAUUUUUCAGGACACAUCGGCUAGCAUGAGAACUUUAUCGUUAACUUUAUUAUUUUAACUAGAACCUCAUCAAUAUCCUGUUACACUUGUACUCACACAACUUUCAUCAUUGUAUCAGCAUACUGGCAAAUUGGCAAAGACCAGAAGUACGACUGCCGAUGCCCCCCAGACCCACCAACCAAAGAGAAAAGGUUCCAAGAGCACCAGAACACAAGCUAAGCAUCAGAGAACAGCAACGCCUCCCCCUUCUCCAAGGUCACCGAUCCCGGUGGAAUCGUCUCCCUCUUCUCCACAAGAAGAACCCCAAACAGAAGAACUCCAGCCAGAAGAACCUCAGCCAGAAGGAACAUCGGCUGAUGUACACGAGCAGACGGCCGAUCCAGCAAGCUUGAUUAUAGCAUCGGUAGUCUUCUCGAUUCAGACAAGUACUGCACCCCCUCAAGGUAACAUACUAUCUAUUUAUUGCCGAUGACCCUACUUUUCCACUUUAUAAUUAACUCUGUUAAUCUUUCAGCUGACAUAGUCUCAUCGGCAAUUCCAUCCGAUCAGCCUGUAGUUCCAUCGGCCUCAACUAGUCAGAGGCGAGAGAUAGCUCUAAAACAAGUAAGUUACCUGAUCUCUAUUUUUGUCAUUACCAAUACUUGAUCAUGAAAUAAAUUAUUUUAUCUUCCUUUUCAGGAACAGGAUUCUCCCGACAGCUUGUUCUCCUUCUUCAUCGAAAUCUCUAAGGAUGAAGGUGAGGAAGCAAGUUCUUCUCGAGCGGUUGGAAUCUCAUCGGCAGAGAUUAGAUCAAAGUUGGAAGAUUUGUUGGCUCUCCUACAUCAAGACACGGCUCAAUUGGUUGAUGACUCCGAUCCGGCCAAGGCCUUGUUCAAGACUCUGAGAGGCCAAAUUCCUGCCGAUGCCGAGGAGAUCCUCUUCAAGGCGGCUCACUUGGAGAGUCGACAGCUUCAGUAUCAAAAGGCUGUUCAGUGCCUUGCCGAUAGAGCUACUCGCGCCCAGCUCUCAGAGGAGAUGAUGAAAGUAAAGCUCCUUGUCGAUGACAAGCAUAUGAGCAUCGGCAUUCUGAAAUCCUCAGGAGAUGUGCUGAAGCAAAAGAUCUCUGAUCUAUCGGCAAAGAGAGAAGCCCUGUUGGCGGAACUCAAACAAGUGGAAGAAUCUCUGUCCCAAGCUCAACAGGAAGAAAGCCAGCUGCCCGAAGCAAUCAAGACACUUGAACAGGAGCGAAACAUCCAAGCUCGCAAGGCAAUGCAGAUGAAGAAGAAACUGUAGCCAGUGGAGGGCUCUGCCGAUGAAGAUAUGAAGGAGAUAGAAGAAGCCGACCAGAUUCGUCUGCGCGCCAUAUCCACGAUCCAGGCUCUGCUGAGCAUAUAAAUUCUUCAUCGGCGGCAUAUCCUGCUCUAUUCUUUUAAACACUCCUGAUUAUUUUGGCCUAGCCGAUAGGACUGUUAUCGGCACCUUUUAAAACAUUAAGUCCGGCUCCAGAUACACUUUAAUCCAGCCGAUAGGAAUGUUAUCGGCAUUUAAACUUUCAUGCAUCAAGCCAUAUGCUAGGAUAAUAUUUCUUUAAGUAUUUACCAUUCAACGCCCUGGGAAAUUCAACUCCUUCGAGAGUUUCUAAAAUAUAGGCAUUGCCAGGAGCAGAUCGGUUUAUCCGAUAAGGACCCUCCCAAUUGGGAGACCAUUUCCCAAAUUUUAAACUUUUAGUCCCGAUCGGUAAGAUUAGUUUUCAUACUAAGUCUCCAUCGGCAAACUCCUUAGCCUUUACUUUCUUAUCAUACCAUCUGGCAACUCUUUUUUUAUUUUCUUCUAUGCUUAUCAAAGCCCUCAGCCGAUGCCCUGCUAAAUCAUCCAAUUCGUCUUUCAUCAAGGUAGCACAGUCAUCGGUAGUCAACUAAUCUUGAAAACAGAGUCACCUCGAUCCAGUCUUAAUUUCACAAGGUAGCACUGCAUCAUGCCCAUAUACCAAUUGAUAAGGUGAAACUUUGGUCGACCCAUGACAAGCCAUCCGAUAUGACCAUAAAGCUUCAUUCCACAAUGUAUGCCACCUCCUAGGAUUUUCUUCAAUCUUCCGUUUAAUAAGUUUGAUAAUUCCCUUGUUAGAUGCCUCGGCCUGCCCAUUAGCUUGAGCAUAAUAAGGGGAAAAAUUUAACACUUUAAUUCCCAUACCGAUUGCAAACUCAUCAAACUCCCCCGAUGUAAACAUAGUACCCUGAUCGGUAGUAAUUGUUUGAGGAAUACCAAAUCGGUAAAUAAUAUGCUCCUUUACAAAAUCAAUCAUAUUGGCCGAUGUGACUUUCUUCAAAGGAAUAGCUUCAACCCACUUGGUGAAAUAAUCAGUAGCAACCAAGAUGAACUUAUGCCCUUUGCUAGAAGGUGGAUAAAUCUGGCCGAUCAAAUCAAUAGCCCAUCCCCGGAACGGCCAAGGUUUAAUGAUGGGAUUCAUGGCCGAUGCGGGUGCCCUUUGAAUAUUGCCGAAUUUCUGACAACCUUGACACCCCUUGAAAUAUUUAAAGCAAUCUUCAAGUAUGGUUGGCCAAUAAUACCCAUUCCUCCUAAUCAUCCAUUUCAUCUUAAAAGCCGACUGAUGUGCUCCACACACUCCUUCAUGGAUUUCUCCCAUCAAACUUUUAGCUUCAUCAUCAUCUAAGCACUUGAGAAGAACUCCAUCGAUUGUUCGAUAAUAUAAUUCAUCCUCGAGGAGCACAUACUUGGCAGCUUGAAACCGAACACGUCUCUCAACCUUCUUAGAUGGAUCCUUUAAAUAAUCAAUGAUUUCUUUUCUCCAAUCAUCGGCACCGAUUGACGAUAUUGUAUUUAAUAUGGGCUGAUAUCCCGAGGUAUGCUGAGCCAACCGAUUAGCUUCCUCAUUAUGUAAUCGAGAAACAUGCUCUAAUCAGAAAUCUUUGAAUUCCUUCAACAGUUGUAUACUCUUUUCGUAAUAAGUUAUCAGGACUUCACUUCGGCAUUCAUAGCUUCCAGCCAAUUGAUUUAUAACCAGCAUAGAAUCCCCGAAGACUUCAACAGCAUCAGCAUGAAUUUCUCUUAACAACUCUAACCCCUUGAUUAAAGCUUGAUAUUCGGCUUGAUUAUUCGUUGAUGUGGCAACAAUCGGCAAAGAGAACUCAUACUUCCUUCUCUUAGGGGAAAUUAACACUAUGCCAAUUCCUGCCCCCCGGUCACACGUAGAUCCAUCAAAGAAGAGCGUCUAAGGUACGAUCUCCAAAGUAUCUACUGUACCCCGAUGUUGAGUCACAAAAUCGGCCAUGAUCUAUCCCUUAACCGCCUUAGCCGAUUCGUACCGCAGAUCGAAUUCCGACAGUGCCAAAAUCCAUUUGCCGAUCCGACCACUCAUAAUCGGCAUAGACAACAUAUAUCGGACUACACCAAGAUUGCAUACAACAGUGCAUUCGGCCGAUAGUAAAUAGUGCCUCAACUUAAUGCAGGAGAAAUAUAGGCAUAAACAUAAUUUUUCAAUAGCCGAAUAUCUGGUUUCAGCAUCGAUCAAUCUUCUCCUUAAAUAGUAAAUCACUCGCUCCUUCCCUUCAAAUUCUUGAAUUAAAGCCGAACUGAUGACCAUCCCAUCAGUAGAUAAAUAUAAUCUGAAGGGCUUUCCUUGCUAAGGUGGAAUUAAAACCGGAGGAUUUACCAAGUAAUUCUUGAUUUCAUCUAAAGCCAACUGUUGCUCUUUCCCCCAUAUGAACUCUUCAUCGGCUUUCAAUUUAAGCAAAGGACUGAAAGCACGAAUUUUACCAGAUAAAUUAGAUAUAAAUUGCCUGAUAAAAUUUAAUUUGCCGAUCAAGGAUUGGAGCUCAGUUUUGUUAGCAGGGGCAACAAUUUUGUUGAUAGCAUCAAUAGAUCAUCUACUAAUUUCAAUUCCUCUACGAUGCACCAUGAAACCAAGAAACUGCCCUGCCGAUACACCAAAUGCACACUUAUUGGGAUUCAUCUUUAAACCAUGUUUCCUUGUGCAUUCCAACACCUUUCGCAAAUUGGCAGGAUGCUUUGUGAAAUCUCCAGACUUAACCACCACAUCAUCAAUAUAAAUUUCCACCAGCUUGCCGAUGAACUCAUGGAAGAUGAAAUUCAUAGCCCUCUGAUAGGUAGCACCAGCAUUUUUCAAACCAAAGGUCAUGACUAUCCAUUCAAACAACCCAACAUGACCAGGACAUCUAAAUGCAGUCUUUGGAAUAUUUUCCUCAAUGAAUAUUUGAUUAUAUCCUGCAUUGCCAUCCAUGAAGCUAAUAAUCUGAUGCCCAGCCGCAGCAUCAACCAAUAAAUCGGCAACCGGCAUCGGGUAACCAUCCAUUGGCGUAGCUUUGUUAAGAUUCCUGAAAUCAAUGCAAACUCGAAGCUUCCCAUUUUUCUUGUAAAAUGGGACAAUAUUAGAAAUCCACUCGGAAUACUGACACUGCCGAAUAAAUUUAGCUUCAAUAAGUUUGGUUAUUUAGGCCUCAAUAUCAAGAAGAAUAUUAGGAUUACAUCGGCGAGCUGACUGUUGAUGUGGCCGAAAUCCAGACUUGAUAGGCAACCGAUGUUCAACAAUCGAUCGGUCUAAACCAGGCAUCUCAGUAUAAUCCCAAGCAAAGCAAUCUUUAUAUUCCUUUAACAAAUCGGUUAACUGCUGCUUACACUCAGAAUUUAACUUAGCACUAAUGAAAGUAGGUCUAGGUUUAUCACCACUACCUAUAUCUACCUCUACUAAAUCAUCGGCCGAUGUGAACCCCUGCCCUAGCUUUCCAUCAUCGGUGAACCUAUCCAUUAAAACUCUUCAUCAGAACCGACUGCUUGGAUCGGUGGAAUUUCAUAAUCAGCAACUUUGAGGAAAUCCUUCUCCCAAACUUCCCCUGAGAUACACCUGGUUCUUUCAUAAGUAUCUGCCUCUGCCAAUGCAAUAACAUAAGAAGAAUCUCCCGGGACAAUCUCAAUCUUGUCACCUACCCACUGAACCAAGCAUUGGUGCAUUGUAGAUGGGAUGCAACAAUUGGCAUGAAUCCAAUCUCUCCCUUGCAGUAAAUUAUAAGCACCUUUCCCACCGAUCAUGAAGAAAGUCGUCGGCAAGGUUUUGCUGCCGAUGGUCAACUCGACGCAUAUUGCCCCUUUAACUGGAGACACAUUUCCUUCAAAGUCCUUUAGCAUCAUAUCGGUCUUGGUCAAAUCUUGAUGUCCUUUCCCAAGCUUUCGAUAGACUGCAUAAUGCAUAAUAUUGAUAGCAGCCCCACCGUCAACAAGUAUUUCGGUCAUCGGCUGCCCAUCAACCCUUCCUCUGACAAACAAAGCUUUAAGGUGCUGCCUUUCAUCAUCGGCAGGCUUUUCAAAGAUAGCUGUCAUUGGAUCCAGAGCCAACUGAGCUAUCUGAUCGGAAAAAUCCAGCCCCUCUACAUCACUGGAUGGCGCAAGGAACUCCAUCGGCAACAUAAAUACCAUGUUGACAUCUGCCGAUGGACCUUUUCCAUUAGGAUCCGGUUGCUGCUGAUCUCCAGACUGGCCAGAAUUCUCGCCUUUGUUUAGCUCUUCUCGUCUUUCACGCCGCAACCGCCUUUUCUGUGUCCUAGUCAACCCCUCUGGACACCAUGGAGGAAGUUGUGGCUGCCUUACCGAUGGGCGACGAUUUUCCCUUGACUCCGUCCGAUAAGUAUUGGCAUCCCUGCAAAAUAUGAACUCAUCGGGAACUCGUGCAUUAGCCAUUUCCUCAAGUUCUUCUCGGUCCCUAGGAAAAUAUUCAACACAAUGACCAAGUCUAUCAUGCACACUGAGCCUGCCCUCCAGUCGAUCAUGUACUAAAGUUCUCCCCCUAAUUGGCCCAUCAAAUCAGCGGUCAUUGUUCUGAUACUGCCGAUUCGAUCUGUCAUACCGAUCAUAACCAUUGCAUUCAGGGUAGUCUCUAACAGUAGGAAGCUUAAUAUUUUGCUCCCAACAAUGGAUAAAGAUCGGACAAUUCCAAUGAUCCCUAUGCCGAUUCCACUCCUGUCGGCGUCUUUCUUCUUCCCGACGAUAAUCCUCCUGCUGGCGCCGAUACCGAUUUUCACGUUGCUACCAAGUCUCCCGAGGCCUUCUAUGAGUUAUCACAAUACCAGAUCGGGGAGGCCUCCCUGAGUUAGUUCCCUCAUAGAUCAAACCUUUUCCUUUAGCAUCAGCAGCAGUAAUCUGAUGCUGAGGAUCCACCGAUGCACUCCUUUCAGCUGCUUCUGACGUCAAGACCUUGGUCUUUCCCUUAGCAUCCAACAUAUUUGUCGGGAAAGGAUGUUGAUCAAUUUUCAUCGGCUUCUGAGCUUUAGAACUAUCAAACUUGAUUCUCCCAGACUCUAUAGCCGAUUGUAGUUGUUGCCUGAAGACCUUGCACUCAUUGGUACUGUGAGAAGUCGCAUUGUGCCAUUUGCAAUAUUUCAUCUUCUUCAAUUCCUCAGCCGAUGGAAUUACAUGAUUGGGUAACAAUUUGAUCUGGCCUUCCUGAAGCAGAAAGUCAAAUAUCCUAUCGGCUUUGGUGAUAUCAAAUGCAAACUUCUCUGGCUCUUUAUGCCCAAAAGGGCAAGACAUUGGCUUUUUGUUCUUCACCCACUCUGCUAAGCUGAUGAGUGGCUCUUCAUCAGAAUCUAAGCUUGCUGCCUCAUCGACAAAUGAUACCUUUUUGUUCCAUGCUCUCUUGGGUUCAAAAGGCUUAAUAUCUCGGUCAGAAAUGCUUUGCACCAAGUGACUCAGACUUUCGAACUUUUGAGAAGUGUAUUUGUCUCUGAUAUGUGGCAACAGCCCUUGAAAAGCCAAAUCGGCAAGCUGCCGAUCAUCCAGAACCAGGCUAUAACAUUUAUUCUUGACUUCCCGUAACCUUUGCACAAAGCUUUCAACCGAUUCAUCAUUGUGCUGCUUCAACCUGACUAAAUCAGUAAUUUUCUUCUCAUGAACUCCAGAGAAGUACUUGUGGAACUGUUUCUCUAGAUCGGUCCAAGUGAUCACUGAGUUGGGAGGUAACGAAAUAAACCAGGUAAAGGCCGAUCUAGACAAAGAUGAUGAAAAUAGAUGAACCCUCAAUUCAUCUCUGUUAGCAGCUUCCCACAUUGAAUGAUGAAUCUGUUGACGUGCUCCAUAGUUGAUGUGUCAUCCUGCCCAGAAAACUUAGUGAAAUCUGGUACCUUGUACCGAUUUGGAAGUGGAAUUAGAUCAUAUGCAGGAGGAUACGGUGUCCGGUACGAGUAAGUGUUGACUUUGGGUUUUAUCCCAAAUUGGUCUCUCAUUACUUCAGCUAUCUUAUCGGCCCAAUAAGCAUCGGCAUCUUGCCGAUGAGGCGGUUGUGGCUCUGGCACCUGCUGAUAUGCUUCCACAUGCCGCUGAGGUGCAAGAUCUGCAUGGAACAUGGGGUUGAUCAUCUGACCACCAAUCUGUUAACCAAGAUUCAUCGGCUGAUUAAUCAAUCCUUGAUUUUCAAAACCAGGUUGAACUUGUCCUUGUUGGAACCCUACCGCCUGAUGACUCUGCUGAGGCAUCUGUGGAAAGACUGGCUGCCAUGUCCAUCCACUAUUAGCAUUCAUCAGCAUGAACCCUGCCGAUGACUGGAAAUUGGGCAUCAUCAUUGAAUUGACAUACCCUGGCUGAGUCAUAAACCUCUGUUGCGUCGGCAUUGAAACUGCCGAUGCGUUAGACAUCUGGAACAUUGGAGCUUGAGAAUUCCCAGUGUAAGGUCUUGUAGUAGUAGUUGUAGUAUACUGGGGACUCUGAUUCAUCGGCAAAUUUGGAGGUGCUGAUGCCAUAGGAGCCUUGCCUCUCAUAUCAGCCGUUUGAGAUGUGCCAGGAGUCUUCAACAUCAUCUCAGGGGGCAUACCAUAACCCCACCAGUUAGGAGGAACAGAUCCCAACAUUGCCGAUGCCAACAGAUCUGUGGCAAGCUUGAUUGAUUCGUCUGAUGUUGAUGGAUUGGUUGUCAUCGGUGUAGAUUGCGCGUUAGUGACUCCUAAUGUGCUUGGAGGAACUGUAGUCUCUGUGCCCGCAGCGGCUGUAGUAGCCGAUGGAGCUGUGACCACUGGUGAUCCUGGCUGAUGAUAGACAGGGCCCACAUAGUUUGGGGGCAAUUGUCCUUCUUUGAAAGUUCUAGCUGUUGGGUAUUCUUAACAUCAUUACCAAAAGUAGACUAAGUUCUCUAAAUCUAGUAACGGUGCCAAAAAUGCCAAACCUAUCCCUCACACCACUUAAGCCAAGUUGUCAUCCCUAGCAUGACAUGAGAGACGCGGUAUUGAAAUAUGCAAUUGCUCUUCUAAAUAAAUAAUGAAUGGGAUCUGCAAGCGCACAGAUUAAUACCGAUGCAGCAUUUUAACCGGGAAGUAUUCCAGGUAUCGUUAUUUAUAUUUUUACCACUGGGAAGGGAUUAGCAAUCAUCAAUAUUGAUUAUAGAAUAGAAUAUGAGAUUGAGCAUCUAUCAUUGCAUGUAUAAUUGAGAACAUUAUAUCUAACUCUUCCAUACAGGGAUAAGUGUCACAUAAAGGAUAUAUGAAAUAAUGAAUAGUGACAAGGAUAAUUAAUCUGAUCUAGCCACAUAAUAAAUAUGAUAAUCACCUCAAUUAGAUACUCUAGAAAGUCAUUAGCAUGGUAUUAGAACGAACUACAAGAAUAUUCCCUAAGUUAUUCUCAACUAUAUAGUUUAGCAUUAUCAUAGUUAGUGCAAGCAUACUUAGCAAUCAUUGUGAGACAAGACUACGCCCAUGCAUAGUGAUAUUAGCAAGGUAAAUGAGAAACAUAGCAAUCACUCCCCUAUAAUAAUAUUGCUCUGCCAGCCCAAUACACGAGAGGGGGACUAUAUAAGAAUCAAUGAAGCUGUCACUAUCACGAACUACCCCACGAUCUGGCAUAUUGGGUACAAUCGCAGAUAAAUAUGGUAUAAGCACCACGCCUACACAAUAUCUAUCAUUUACCCAUGGAUCCAAUGGAUAAACGCUAUACGAUCCUAAGCAUGUAUAUAGAUCCAAUCUAACUAAGCCAAGUACAUAACUAUGAUAAACUAAGAACAAUAUAAUCUUGAAUAUAAGCAAGUAGAGCAAAGUCAUAAGCAAUAUAUUGAAGUAGAACAAAGUCAUAUUCAUAAUACUGAAGAACAAAGAUAAUUAGAAAGCAAUUAGAAGCACAAUUAGAGAAUUACCAAGAAUCCUCCUGACAGAUCCGAAAACCAAUCAAGGAUUGACUCCUUCUAGUUCUAAUCCUAUGUAGCUAUGCUAAUCUAGAUAUCUAAUUGAUGUGGUGGCUCUAAUCUUGAUCAGAGGCUUCUUCUCCCUUGAGGAACAAUGAAUUAGGGUUGAGAGGCUCUCCCUUCCAGGGGCCAGGGGGUCUGGUUUUAUAGUCCCUUCAAGUGAAUAUGGGCCGUUGGAUCAAACCGACAUAGAUUGUACGGUUUAGAUUCAUCCUUUAGGUCGGUGGAGAUCUCCCACGAAGCAAAGUCCUGAUUGGACUCAAAGGGGGCGGGCGCCCAGGGGAACAGGGCAGGCGCCCUGCCUCUGGCCCCGUUUCGUCUCCGCUUCGGUCUCGUGGCUUCUGGAGUCUUCUAGAUGUAAGAUAAUUGUGCGGCACGUUAAUAUCUCUAUGUAAUCCCGACGUGUGGGCCUUUCUUCCAUAUUUCCUGAUAACCCCCUGCAGAAAUAGACAAACACCAAAACUCGUGGAAUUCUGUCAGAUAAAACCCUAAGUCUAGGUGUUGGUUGCAUUUGGAUCCUUUUCUUUAUUUAUUUGAUAAUUAAAUUUGAUACUUAAGGACCGUCAACAAACUCCCCCAAGCUCACCUCUUGCUCGUCCCUGAGCAAGGAUAGACUCAGCUAUGGAUCAUAAGUUGUUGCAAUAUUUUAAAAAUUGACGGUACACAUGCUUUUUAAAUAAGAUCUCAUCUCUGAGUUAGAGUAAACUGUCAAGACUUAAAACUUACUUACUUUACCUUUCACCAUGGGACUUGUAACCGUCACUUCUAUCUUGAGUAGUUAAAAGAUAGAACAGUCUAGUCAAGUGCCAUGUCUCUUAUUCUUGAUCAGCUAUAGCUCUGGUGUUUUUUUGUAGAUUUUCAAAUAAAACUCAGAGAUUCCUUGUAUGACUUCUCUCAUAUCUCUCUUUUGUGGUAUUUCUGGAUCCUUACCAAGGCAGUAAUGGUAUAUGCCUUCUCUCAAGAUAUGUAGUAUUUAUGGUAUAAAGCAUAGUGACAUUGCCUUCUCUCUCACCCUACUCUAAUAAGGCUUUAAUAUCUGGAGCUCAUAGGUGGGAGAUAAAGUAUACAUACUUACAAGACAUUUAUUGCAUAGUCAAACCAUGGAUCCAAAGAAACAAAUCAAUAAGCUAAAUCAAGAUGUGCAUGUGUGGCGAAUGAAUGGUGUAUGGUGAUGAUGGUGAUAACAAUGGUGAAAGUCUAAUUCUACUUUUGCUCUUUGAGGGGAUACAUACCUUUCUUGCUUUUUGAAACUUUAUGAGGAGAAUGAGAUGCUCUUCUUUUUCUUUUCUCUCAGGUGGGUAUCUUGUACCCCUAAUUCUACUGUCGGACACUUGUCCUUUUUUACCUCUCGUCUCACUUUUUUUUCUUUUCUUUCGAGGUUCCGGGCACUUGCCCCUUUUUAUUUCCUCAUUUUUUUUAGAGCACUCAUCUCAUGAGAUAAGAUAGCAAGUGGUAGUAACAAGAUAACUUGAGCAUUUAUUUCACAAGGGAAAAACAAAAAUAUUUUUGGCUAUUCUCUCCCGGAUUAAGAGUAGAAUAUUUUUGGGUGAUUCUGGAGAUGGAAAUGGAUGGAUAUAUGUGGAUGGUACUUCCGGAGUAGAAGUAGCAUAUAUGAGUGAACGUGCAAGUGAAUCUUGAUUUAACCACAUGACAAGCUCCUAAGGGUCUACACAGCUUGACCACACUCAAUGCUCAUAAGCAGUAAAUAGUAAAUGUGUGGCUCAAAGUCUAGCAAGCAUGCAUAUAUGGCUGUGGUAGGAAUUUAAACUCUCAUCAUACAGGAACUCAUCAUACAACAUUUUAAAGAUUUUCAAAGAUAAAAUUCUCCAGAAUUCUAGCAUCUCUAGGAAUAGAUAAACAGCAGCUCAACCUUCCCAUAUCAAAUUCGUUAACAACUUAGAUUUCAGAUCAAGUUUUCAUCCCACAAGUUUAGGUCUAGAGCAAGCUUUAAAUUAUAACAGUUAUAUCUAAACUUGAGAGAGAACUUAAAAUGUGCAAAUUAGGCAGAGCAACUAUUCAUCAUAUCUAUGCUUAAGUUUUAUUUAGAUACAGAUUAGCAUAGCCACUUUAUUUAUUUAUUAAACACACUAAGCAAAAGAUAUAUAUAUAAGCACAAAAUCUUUAUUUGGUUUUUCAUAAUUAUGUAUAUCUAUAUUCUAAAAUAGUAUAAGUAUAAAGAUAGAUAGAAAUACUUAUCGAGAUAAAUGGGGGUGCUCUCUCCCAAGCUGAAUUUUGACGUAAUUUGUCUUGAUGUAGCUAGCAGGCGGCAGAGGUGUAUUUGAAAACCAGCAGUAUUAUGACAGCGAUUAGAAUGUCCUCCGUCUGCCAGUCUUCCUGAUUCUUAAACUCUGUGGAGCUCAAAUAGACAACAAAUCUUGUGGAACUGAUUAAGUGUUAGCAUAAAUAUCUAGCCUUUAUCAUGUUGAGACUCCUUAAUAAUUAUUACUCCCUGUUUUUAUAUUUUUAUUUUCUUUUUAGGAUAGUAUGAACAUGAUUAACUAAGUAAACUAGUUGAAAUAAUUGAAAGGGAAAGGAUAACUACCAAGUUUACCUCUUGGCAAGGCAUUCGGUGUUUUUAAGUCCUCCGAACACGACUCUCCGUUUUCUCAAUUGUCCUGAGGUUCGUUGGGUGGCGGAGUCGGUACUUCCGGCAGCGCCUCUUCUUCAUGUAUAGUUAUCUUCAUUUUCCACACCUGACUUGGUGCUACGGUCUCCUCUGGAUAAUUCUAUUUAAACUCUACGUCUUCUGACCUUACAACUUCUCCUUCAUAGUCUGCCCAUCCGUCCUUGAUGAUCUGCCUCCUCUGGUUGCGGUUGCGUCGGUUUCUUACCUGCUUAGAUUCUUCAACGAUAUAGUUAGGGUCAAUAAAAUAACGACAUACCUUCUCUGAGGGGAAGUGCAUAUGGACUUCUCCGGUUCCAAUGUAGAUAAUUGCUUUAACGGUGCUGAGGAACGGUCUUCCAAGGAUGAUGGGUGGAUCGUAUUCGUGUUCUCCCAUGUCAAUAACUUGAAAGUCUGUGUAGACAAAAUGAUCGUCUAUUUUGACUGGGACAUCAGUUACUAUUCCUUUAACUUCUCGAAAUGUCUGAUGCCAUUUGGAGCUGAAUGUAUGUUGGUCUUAGGGGCAUGGUUCCGAACAGGAGCCGAUAGGUGACUGCGGCCAUUAUGUUGACGCCCGAUCCAGUGUCACAAGUCGUCUUGUAGAAGUUGUAUCCAUUUAUGGAGCAGUAGAUGCUUGGCAUUCCUGGGUCGUCCUUCUUUGUCAAAAACGGUGACUUAAGUUGGUGAUCUUGGCCUCCAUGAACUACAGUGACCAUCUUAGCUGACUCGGUGCACACUUGCUUGUUCCUAUUCUUCCUGUUGGUCCUCUUCCUUGACUCACGUCUGGAUUGAUCUGGAAUUUGUGUAGUCUUGUUCUUGAAGAAAAAUAUCUCCUUCCUUCCUUUGACGUAGAAAUUUAUCUUGGCAGCUCUAGCGUAGAUGAUAGCUCCCGUGGUGUUCAAGAAUGGCCUCCCUAAGAUGAUGGGUGCCCUCUCAUCAUUUUCGGUCUCUACCACUACGAAGUCUGCUAGGGCAUAUAAGGUACCAACUCGGACACAAAGGUUCUUCAAUAUUCCUUUUGGAAAAGUUAUCGUCUGAUCUGCAAACUGCAAACACAUGGUUGUUUCUAAUAAAGGAUAUGUAAAGAUUUUUUCAUAGAGUACCCUGGGUAUAAUGUUGACACUAGAGCCAAAGUCGCAGAGUGCUUCUGGAACGUCCACCAUGCCGAUGGAGAUCGGGAUGACGGGGCGUCCUGGAUCGCCUCACUUGACCGGCAGAAGGUCAGUAGAGAAUUCAGUGACGGGGUUACUCCAAUUACCUGCAUCAAAUAUGUCUACAAGAUUUGCAGAUUCUAAUCCUUCCGGUUGUGAUGGUAUACCGGGGUUAGUAGCAGGAACAGCAGCAACUAUUUCAUUUAACUGAGAUUCAAUCAUUUUAUUAAAGCUAAUUUGAUUCUUGAUGGCAGUAGAGAAAUUAUCCAUUCUAUUAUUUAUAUUUUCUAGCAUUUUAUCAUUAUAUGCCAAUUUCUUAGAUAGGUUAUCCAUUAGCUUUCCUUGAUCAGACACUUACUCUCUCAGAGGUGGAAAAUUUUUAUUAUUGUUGUAAAAAUUGUUACCUUGAUAAUUACCUGAGUUGUUAGGCCUCUGUUGAUUCCAACCUUGAUUUUGUUGAGGACGGUUGUAGUUGUUGUUGUUGUUGUUGAUGUAGUUCACAUCCUCAAGCAUCUCAGGGCAGUGGUUGCCUGAGUGUCCAGUGUCUCCACACUCCCCACAAGUCAUGUGAGAGUCGUAGAUGUGCAUAACUUCUUUCUUAUCUCCAGCUCUAUCGUCGAGCUUCUUCAUGAGCACGUCUAGCUUUGCAGACAGCAUGUCUACCUCCUUGAGCUGAUGCAUACCUCAACCUCUCUUGCGUGUCUGGGUCCUCUCUUCAUUCUAGCUUUGAUUGGACGCCAUCAUCUCCACAAGAGCUGUGGCUUGUGAUAUGGUGAGUGAUAAGAAUGCUCCUCCAGCUGCAGCAUCCUUGGUCUCUCGGGCACUGUUGCCGAGUCCAUGAUAAAAUGUCUGCUUCAAUAGCCAACUCUCCAUUCCAUGAUGGGGACAUUCUAAGAUGUAGUCUUGAAAGCACUCCCAUGCUUGUGGAACAGAUUCAUCAUUUUGUUGCUGAAAACUUGUAAUCUUCCCACAGAGAGCAUUGGUCUUGCUCAUGGGAAAGAACUUAGCCAGGAAGUUUGUUGAGCAGAGGGCCCACGUAGUAUUCUUCUCAUUUGUAGCGUAGAACCACUGCUUCGCUCUCCCUAACAGUGAGAAUGGGAAGAGGCAAAGUAGUAUAGCAUCUUUGGAAACUCCUGAUAUGGUGAAUGUGUUGCAAAUCUCCAGGAAGUGAUGUAAAUGAGCACUAGCAUCUUCGUGUGCCUUCCCACAGAACUGGUUGGAUUGCACCAUGUUGAUAAGUCCAGGCUUGAGCUCAAAGUUGCCGUCGAUCUCUGCCGCAGGUCCAGUGCGGAUGUUGUCUGUAGUGGGAGCUGAGAACUCGCGGAUUGAUUUGUUCGCCAUGGCUUCGAACUCUGAAGACAAGUUCCGGUGAUCUUCUUGAUUGGAUGAAGCUUCUUGCUGAAGUGUUGAUGAUCUCUUCUUGAGCUUGGCUCUCGUCUUCUUGAAUAAUGCUUCGGGAUUGUCAACAAAAUUUCCUGGAAGAUGUCUUCUAUUCAUACAUUCCCCUGCAUAAGAUAAAAUAGGAAAAUAUCGGGGUAAAACUGUAUGAGAGAAUACAUAAGCUCAAUCAUAUUAGUGAUGCGAAUGAUAAUUCAAAAUCCUUUAUUCCAUUCUUGAUUAGUAAUCAACCUUCCUCGGCAGCGGCACCAAAAAUGCUUGUUGGGUAUUCUUAUCAUCAUUACCAAAAGUAGACUAAGUUCUCUAAAUCUAGUAACGGUGCCAAAAAUGCCAAACCUAUCCCUCACAACACUUAACCCAAGUUGUCAUCCCUAGCAUGACAUGAGAGACGCGGUAUUGAAAUAUGCAAUUGCUCUUCUAAAUAAAUAAUGAAUGGGAUCUGCAAGCGCACAGAUUAAUACCGAUGCAGCAUUUUAACCGGGAAGUAUUCUAGGUAUCGUUAUUUAUAUUUUUACCACUGGGAAGGGAUUAGCAAUCAUCAAUAUUGAUUACAGAAUAGAAUAUGAGAUUGAGCAUCUAUCAUUGCAUGUAUAAUUGAGAACAAUAUAUCUAACUCUUCCAUACAGGGAUAAGUGUCACAUAAAGGAUAUAUGAAAUAAUAAAUAGUGACAAGGAUAAUUAAUCUGAUCUAGCCACAUAAUAAAUAUAAUAAGCACCUCAAUUAGAUACUCUAGAAAGUCAUUAGCAUGGUAUUAGAACGAACUACAAGAAUAUUCCAUAAGUUAUUCUCAGCUAUAUAGUUUAGCAUUAUCAUAGUUAGUGCAAGCAUACUUAGCAAUCAUUGUGAGACAAGACAACGCCCAUGCAUAGUGAUAUUAGCAAGGUAAAUGAGAAACAUAGCAAUCACUCCCCUGUAAUAAUAUUGCUCUUCCAGCCCAAUACACGAGAGGGAGACAAAAUAAGAAUCAAUGAAGCUGUCACUAUCACGAACUACCCCACGAUCUGGCAUAUUGGGUACAAUCGCAGAUAACUACGGUAUAAGCACCACGCCUACACAAUAUCUAUCAUUUACUCAUGGAUCCAAUGGAUAAACGCUAUACGAUCCUAAGCAUGUAUAUAGAUCCAAUCUAACUAAGCCAAGUACAUAACUAUGAUAAACUAAGAACAAUAUAAUCUUGAAUAUAAGCAAGUAGAGCAAAGUCAUAAGCAAUAUAUUGAAGUAGAACAAAGUCAUAUUCAUAAUACUGAAGAACAAAGAUAAUUAUUAAGCAAUUAGAAGCAUAAUUAGAGAAUUACCAAGAAUCCUCUUGACAGAUCCGGAAACCAAUCGAAGAUUGACUCCUUCUAGUUCUAAUCCUAUGUAGCUAUGCUAAUCUAGAUAUCUAAUUGAUGUGGUGGCUCUAAUCUUGAUCAGAGGCUUCUUCUCCCUUGAGGAACAAUGAAUUAGGGUUGAGAGGCUCUCCCUUCCAGGGGCCAGGGAGUCUGGUUUUAUAGUCCCUUCAAGUGAAUAUGGGCCGUUGGAUCAAACCGACAUAGAUUGUAUGGUUUAGAUUCAUCCUUUAGGUCGGUGGAGAUCUCCCACGAAGCAGAGUCCUGAUUGGACUCAGAGGGGGCGGGCGCCCAGGGGAACAGGGCGGGCGCCCUGCCUCUGGCUCCGUUUCGUCUCCGAUUCGGUCUCGUGGCUUCUGGAGUCUUCUAGAUGUAAGAUAAUUGCGCGGCACGUUAAUAUCUCUAUGUAAUCCCGACGUGUGGGCCUUUCUUCCGUAUUUCCUGAUAACCCCCUAUAGAAAUAGACAAACACCAAAACUCAUGGAAUUCUGUCAAAUAAAACCCUAAGUCUAGAUGUUGAUUUCAUUUGGAUCAUUUUCUUUAUUUAUUUGAUAAUUAAAUUUGAUACUUAAGGACCGUCAACACUAGCCACGACAUUGAAAACCGUAUUUGACAGCACACCAGCUUGAUUAAUCAAGGCACGGUUAAUAGCAUUAUCAACCAUGUCUUGAAGUUUACCAGGAUUGGCUUCAAAAGUAACCUGCCGAGGCACCGGCAAUGCUUCUUUCUGGAUCACCUCGCCGCUCCUGUUGAUGCUGAAGGAUUUCAAAUAUUGCUGCUUGUAAUCCUCCAUGGCUUUUGCAAUAGCUUGCCUUUGCUCAUCUCUGAGAUUGGCUUCCAUCACAGGGAUGACGUUCUCCAGAUCGAACUUGGUAUUGGCCAUGUCGAUCUUGAUCCUGAAUCUUGUAUCUGGUCCCACCGAGCGUGCCAAAAGAUGUGUUGGUGCAAAAGCUGAUCUGCAAACACAAAGGGCUAAUACCCGAUUUAAACGUUAAGGCGUGCCGGCCGAUUUGACCUUACUAUCGGCAAAGGUGAUAACUCGAACACUUUGGUCCCGACAACAGCAAUGCGCCCGGAUGUCACGGCCAAGAGGUGCUCACGCGGAACUUGAGAACUCGCCGAGCUUAAGUCGACGAAUUCAUAAGAACUCGUAGUAAAAAGGAAAAAUAUGACGAAGUCAUCGGAAAAGUAGAUGUUGGAAUAUGAGUAAAAAACUUGUGUUUGAUUGAUUGAUAGAUUUUUCAUUACAAGGCCCUAGGGUCUACAUUUAUACCCUGUUCAAAGAGCUACAAUCAGACACGACUAGGACUCAAAUUCCAAAUUAAACGGAAUCCGUAUACAAAACGAAUUUAAAUAACUAAGCAAAACAUAAAACUAUCCUUCUGUAACCGACCGGGACACCGCCACAGAUCAAUCGGCAAUCUCCACGCUUUCCUUCAGAGUCAUCGGCAGACCUCCUGUUAUGGCCAUCGGCAAACACUAAUACUGAUCAUCGGCACGAACACGUCACCACCUCUGGAUUUAGUCACAUUCAAUUGUCACUUCAACGGCAACCACCUUCAUCGGCAACUUCCCUGCAGACUAGUUACAGUUGCUCCAUCUGCCGAUCUAUACUUUACUGAUUCCCGGGUACAUGUCCAAAAACGGUGUCAACAACAGCAAUCCCUUCUUCAGAAAGAAUGUGCCCUAGGAAAGGGACUUUCAUCAACCAGAACUGGCACUUGCUGAAUUUUGCAUACAACUGAUGCUCUCGCAGCCGUGUUAGCACGACUCUGAGAUGCUCAGCGUGAUCUUGCUCAUUCUCUGAAUAAACCAGAAUGUCAUCGAUGAAUACCACAACAAACUUAUCUAAUUCUGGCAUAAAGACCGAGUUCAUCAGAUACAUAAAGUAUGCAGGAGCAUUCGUCAGCCCAAAGGACAUGACAAGGUACUCAUACAACCCAUAUCUGGUGGAGAAGGCAGUCUGCGGGAUAUCUUGUGGACGGAUCUUUAUUUGGUGAUACCCGGACCUCAAAUCUAUCUUGGAAAACACUUUGGCCUUGGACAACUGAUCAAACAAGAUAUCAAUCCUUGGCCUUGUCACCGCAUUGAGUGGACGAUAGUCCACGCACAUACGCAACAAUUGAUCCUUCUUUUUCACAAACAACGCCGGACAACCCCAUUCCGACGAACUUGGCCGGAUGAACCCUUUAUCUAACAACUCCUUUAGUUGAUUCUUCAACUCAACGAGUUCAUUUGGCGGCAUCCGGUACGGCAUUCUAGAUAUCAGUGCGGUACCUGGUAUCAACUCGAUUGCAAACUCUACUUCCCUAUCUGGGGGAAGUCCUGGCCAUUCCUCAGGAAAAACAUCAGGGAACUCACAGACUACUGGGAUCUGUGGCAGAGGAACCAACAUGCGUAGCACAAGAGAUGCUAGCAAAGUCAAAGCGAUGGGGCAGAGGUACUUGAAAAGAUCCACUGCCCUAGGGUUCUCUGAGAGAUAACACCCUCUUCCCAGUAUCUAUGACAACAUCCCACUCUUUCAUCUAGUUCAUGGCCAUGAUAACAUCCAAAACUAACCCAAGCAUGACUACCAGAUUUACUCGAAACACCCGGUUACUUAUAUCUAGGGUUGCCCCUCGGACCACUCUAUUUGUCAACACAUCUACCCCUGCUGAGCUGAUGCGAUAGCAGUAACCCAGAUUUGUAACUGCUUGGUCAUGCUUUUGUGCAAAUGCUUGGCUCAUGAAUGAAUGUGAUGAUCAAGAAUCAAACAAAACAACUGCAAGAUGUUGGUUGAGAGGAAACAUAACAGCUGUUACUGGUUCUCCUUCCGGGAUCUCCUCUAUCGAGGUAUGGUGCACUCGAGCUGGGUAGGUUGUCUGCUGCCUCUUGGGGUAGGGACAUUCCUUAGCAAAGUGCCCCAUCUUGUGGCAGUUGUAGCACGGUCCCUUGGUCAUAUUGUUGGCGGUAGGUGCUGCAGCUUGAAUUGCCCUUGGCUUGGCAGGAGCUAUAGCCACCUUGUACGACUUCUGCUGCUUUGGAUGCUCGGUGUUCCUUCUCUGCGGCGGUCAGAACCUAGCACCAGGGGCAGGUGGACGAUACUGCUGUUGCCCCGCCACUGGUGCCCUAGACUGAGAUGACCCGGCUUCAAAAGCCCUCUUACGAGACUUGGAUGCACUGUAGUUGUUGUUAUUGUUUCCCUGGGUCAGACAGUCACUGAUAUAAGCAUUGAAGGUAGCCUGGUUCCCUGUACCCAUGGUCUUCAGCAUCUUCGGGCUCAGACCUCUCUGAAAAAUAGCGAUCUUCUUGGCCUCUGUGUUCACAUACUCGGGGGCGUAAUGAGCAAGAUUGUUAAAAGCGUGCAGAUACUCCUUCACAGACUUUGUUCUCUACGACAGCCUCAUGAACUCCCCAACCUUCAUUUCCACCACACCCGGAGGAAUGUAAUUUCCUCAGAAGGCGGUGGUGAAGCGGUUCCAAGUGAUUGGGGUCCCCUCUGGGUAGGUGGUACGGUGAUGGGACCACCAAAUCCCAGCAGGUCCUUGUAACUGAUGCUCUGCAUACUCGGCCUUGAGUUCUUCAGUCAUCCGAGGAAGAUGGAACUUUUGCUCCAUGGUGUUGAUCCACUCAUCUGCCUCGAGCGGUUCCAAGGCCUCCUUGAAGGUCGGUGGCUUAGUAUCCAUGAAGUCCUUGAAAGAGCUGUACUGAUUGGCCUCACGGCCGCCCUGGUUAUCCCCACGGCAGGUAUUGUCAGCGAUAUUGCGCAGGCUUCUUCCAUGUUGUGCUGCAUCUUCUCCAUGUUGCGUUGGCUCCCUAGAAACUGCACGAAAAACACGUCUGCAGUGUACGGAGGAGGUGGUGGUGGUGGCGGCGAUGGUGCUCUUUCCUCAUUCCGUUGAGCUCCACCUCCGGAAGUACGUGCUCCAAGACCGGGGUUGCUGUUACCCCCGCCACGUGUUUGCACCAUCUGCAUGCGUCAAUGAUAAGCAGUUGUUAGGAGUUGCCAUCAACGGUAGACAUAUGUAGAAUUAUGCCGUACUGAAUUUACUGAGGAAAAUAAAUUCGCACAAUAAACAGAGGCAUAACAAUUCAUCAUCCACACACAGCAUCACUAACGGAUUACUUAACAUUCGAGCAACAAGGUUCGCAUACGCCCAAAUUGCCAGCAUACAUACAAUGGACUUUCAGCAUCUGCACAUAAGGUUUUACACAACCCAGAUCCAAUAUUACAAGACAUGCCAUGCAACAACAACAUCAAAAGAAGAAGGACUAGCUCUAGAGCCCUAGAAUCUACUCGCUAUGGUCACUGUCCAUGCCGGAGCCCUCCUCGUCCUCAUCUCCACUAGCAGCUGCCCCUAUCUCUGGAUCCUCAUCCAUCUCAUCCUCAGAGUCUAACUCAGCUGCUCCAGGCAGGUGGUGAGGGUGGAGAUGGUUAUGCAACUGGUGAAUCUCCUCAUGCAGGUUCUCAUUGUACUCCUCAGCAUUAGCUAGCUGCUGCUCAAGCUCUAGCUGUCGGGCCCUCAGGGUGUCCUCCUCGUGCUAGGCUUCAUUCCUCUGACCAAGCACAUGAACUAGCAUGCGCUCGCAGUUCCUGUGAGCAGUAGUCACCCUGUCCCUCUGCUCUCUCACUGCAAGCAGGUCCUGACUCAGCUCACUGUGCUUCUGGACCACCUGAUCCCUCUCUCGGGUCACGCGGACCAACUCUGCCUACAACCUCUCAACCUCAGUGUCGAACUCAAGCUGCAGCUGGCGCUUCUCAUCCUGGACUAUGAGAAGAAACCCAGACAAGCAUCCCAAACAACGCUCCAGACCCCCAUAGGUCUUCAUCAAGGCGAACAUAGCACUCAUAGCUGCACUGCCACUGUGCUGGUCCUCAUCCGCACACCUCUCUAGAGCGUUCACCUCGGACUGAUCACACACCGAAGUGUAGGGGUCACCUCGGGGAAACACCCCAGCGAAGGCGUCUGCCAGCUCCUGUGGAAACCUCUCCAUUAUGUCCCUCAGAACUGCAAAGGCUGCUCUGCUGGCACCGUGGAAAGGCGAGGUACCUCGGGACUCGUACACCCAGCCGCCCCAGGCGGGGUCACCUCCACUGGUAGGGACCACUGCCUCGAUCCCCACCACGGUCCCGUCACCAAGCUGCUCCUUGUUCCAAUAGUAGCGAGGUUCCCUUCCUUCGGGAUAUCCCAUCGAGCUAAGCACCCUCCAAAGCAAGGUGGGCAUCCCAAACUCCUCUAGGAAAUUGCUCUUGUGACGCGAGCUCCUAGCGGCCAACUGAUGGCGAGGGGCCCGCCCACCAGUGGACUUGCGAGCGGUGAGCCUAGUGCGUGCCAUCUGCUGCAGAUAGAAUACCUUGGGUAAGAUUGAGGAGUACCUUUUAUUAACUUAAUUAAAAUUGGGACAGAUUUAAUUAAGGGGAGGAAGUAAGCAAUGAUAUGGAAUGAACAUGAUGCAUGCACGAACUUACGAUCUCACAAACUUGGAAACAAAAGUUAACACUAAUCGGUAUAUGCUGUGGCACACAAUGUUCUCUCAUAACGUAACUAGCGUUCUAAGUGGGAACAUGGUUAGUGUACCUGCAGAAAACUCAUUUUAGCCCAACCACAGUAUGAACAUGCAUAACAAGAAUUUAAAUCUACACACCCCACAUGCAUAGACACCACUUCCAUGCAUAUGGUGUCUUACUACCCACAUCAUCGCCCUAGUGACGGCAUCGCCUGCCAGGACGGAAUCUCCCAACAUGCGGUACUGUUCUCAGGCACACCAAACAUGUGUGCAUGACACAGCACCUAACAACACUUCCCUAUAUCGGCAGUGUAUCCGAUCAUGCUCUCACAGCUCCCACUUACCGAGGCGUAGAGGAAAAAUUGAUCCAUACAUUACCACUCAAAUGAAUGGUACUCAUACUAUUGCACGCCGUAUGAGCGACGAAAAUAGAAAUAUGAUGCAUUAACCCCCAAGUCAGUACUUAAGUAGCCACCUUAGAGUCCUUAACUGGACAUAAAGGAUAUGACCAUGGCACACUAGAUAGUUUUCCAGAAACAUAGUUUAACACCUUGAUUAUCAUUAAUUAAAAAUAAUCUUUUAUUAAACCGGCUUAAGGUGAGUUAUAACGUACUUAUGAACAGUAACUCGCUAAACCUUGCUCCGAUGCCAGCUGUAGUAGAACCGCCCAAAUUAUAAGAGAUUAAGCCUGAUAGUGACCAUUUGCACAGUCAAACUACCGAGCUUAAGCCCAUAUAAUCCUGGUAGUCCGUGAAAUCUCGAAGGAUUUCAAACCACAAUUCGUACAUACAGCCAAGAUUGUAAUAAGUUCAGCGGUCACCAUUCACGAUUACAUCCAGUUUACCACAUUCAUAAAAAUACAUCGGAGUACUUAAAAUUAUUACAAACCAAGUUCUCAAGUAGCGGAAGCUUCAUAGUUCGAAAAUAACACACACACAUUUAGUCUGGUACAGUGCCAUAGUUCGGUCAUUCCCACAAAAGCAAAAGAGAAGGUGGAGUGACCAUCGCCCUUGGUCUAGUCAUCGCCCAUUGCUGGGUACAAGCAGAGGAUGCAAUAACCAUAGUAUAUUUGACCAUCUGCAAAACAACAUGGGAAUAAAACCCUGAGUACGAGAAUGUACUCAGCUAGACUUACCCAUCAUAACCAAAAAUAAAGACUCUUCAAGGAUCAUGAAGGCUGUAUGGUGGGGUAGUUGAGACUUUUUGCAUAAAAGCAUUAUUCCACUAAGCAUAGCCUAGAGACCAUUCUUCUUUUAAUUAGCUCAAGUUUGAUAAUAUCAUUACCUAUUAUCUAGGUUUGCACCUGUACUAUUACAAACAAGUGUAGAAAUAUGAUGGUACCUCAUCAUAGCAUUCAUAAACCAUUUAUCAUCAUAACCCAAGUGUUCCAUAGUCCUUACUACGAGGACGAAGCUCAUGUCAAGUGCUCACUAUCCAGGAGCGAUGGCGAUUCGAAUCAAUUUCUAACCAGCUGGCGAGUUAUUCCCCACACAAACCAUACUCACUGAUCAAGUGAGCUACAGAUCACCGUGUUACACUAUCCAGGACCAAUUGUCGGGUUCGGCAGGCACCGCCAGUACCCGAGGACCGUUCCGGCGACCGAGGUAUCCAAGGUAUACCAAGGUUGCACGCCGCGCCCUCGUCGCUCUCCUCAACCAUCACCAAUACAGCGCAUGGCGGCUCGACUCCUGGCCCGGAUAGUGUUCAGGCUUCGCGGUCGGAACGACUUAUCCUUCCAGCUAAGUGUGGGGCAUGCGUUCAACAUGACAAGAGGGCCGUCAACGAUCGGUCCUUAAUCGACACAGGCAGGGGCACUAUGGUCAACCCACCAUAAGAGCCUGCCCGGUCUCAAAUUCCUUUCCUCACUUGGUUAUUCUUCCCCAUAGCAAUUACAGCUAAUCAAACAGGUGUCCACCUAUAUCUCGCAGGUGACAGGAAAUCACCCGACUUCUACCGGACUAAGCAAGCUAUGCAUAGACUCCGUGCCUAUCUACAUAGGACAAGGUAGAUAAACAAGUGGUGAUAUCAAGGAGUACGUAUGCAUCAACGGUAUCAAGCAAUUCUUAUCACUUAAAUGCAACAUAGUAGAACAGGCGUAACAUAUCAUAUAAGUUAGCGAGAAUAGGGAGACUUAGAAUGCUCCGGGGCUUGCCUUUCUCAAAUGUGCUCGGCUUGUGAUCCGGGCACUCCUGCAGCUCUUCUCCGGGCUCCGGUCCUCCCAGAGGUUCCUGCUCCUGGGUCUCCCCCGGCUCCUCGGGUCCCACCUCAUUCUUCUGCGAGCCUGUAUGAUGUAUGUGUGCUCAUGAGUGGAGUGCGAGAUGCCCGGGAUGCAAUGCUUAUGCAAGUGGGUAAGAGAUGACUAUGACAUGGUGCAUAGAUGAUAUAGGUGGUUAUUUCUACAAGGUAGUCAACAUCAUCCAAGAACAUGUAAUCGAACUACACAUCUAUUACAUUCUCUUCUACAAGUUGUCUUCAUGGUUAACCAGCAAGCUCACAUGAUGCUUCAAAGAUACACCAAACACCCUCUUACUUUAUUUAAUCUAUGUAUAACAAUUCAUAAUUUAUUUAUCCACUUUGAGGCCUACAAAAGUAGCAUAUGUUUCUGUCUUUCAAUAAAUUCCACAAAAAUUAUAGCAGAUCACCAGUCAACCAUAAAGUCUACCAUGAAUUUCUCAUAAUAUUUGGACCGUUAUUUUGAGCUACAAAAAUCACAAGAUUAAUCCAUAUAAGCAAGUAUAAAUACCCUACUGUUGACCAAGUGUCAAACAACAGAUUUCAUAUUUUUAUAAAUUACUUGUUAACAUAAGAAACAUCCACAAAAAUUUCCAGAUUAAUUGCAUGAUCCAAUUAUUUAUUAAAAAUCAUAAACCACGGCCAUGCAAGCAUUUAAAUCACCAUAAAUUAACUCAUACAACAAAUAAUGUGUAACAUAUUUUUCCCAGAGCCUACUCAUCCAUGCAGAGCUAACAAAACAAGUUUCAUAUUUUUCUGAGCUAUAUUUUAAUUACUGUGCAUUUUCCAAUUUUUAGCAAAAACAUGGAUUAAAUAUAUUUGUACAGAAAAGUUGUUCAAAUAUGACACGCAACCACAUGAAAGUAUAGAUCUAGAAUUAUAGAGUUCAUCAAAGUUUAUUUCAUCAAUUUUGGAGCUGUAGAACUCAAGUUAUGAAAUAUACAAGAUUUAAUCAAAUUCUGAAAACCUUUAUUUAAGAAAAACCGACAGAAAACGCUAGAUCCACCCAGAUCCACACCCGCAGAGGCACUGACAGGCGGGACCCAGGGGUCGUGGCCCCACGGGUCAGCCACGCCGCACUCCGGCCGACUUCGGCCGGCCGGCUCUCGCCAACGGCGAGGUCUCCGGCCACGGGGUGAGCACCAACGUCCUCCCCGCAGCGAGGCGCACCCAAGGGUGCCCUUGGAUCGGCCGGAAGAUGACCGGAGCACCCCCGCGAGCAUGCAUGGCGGCACGGCGGCGCUGCUCGCCGUGGCCAGGCCGCUCCGGUGCGGUAGAACGCGCGCGGGUACUCGUCCGAGCUUCCUCACCGAGCUACGAACCUAACGCGCUCGAAAGCAAGCGAAACGAGGCAAGAAUGAGUAAGUUGCCAUGCGGCGGAGCACUCUGACGAGGUCGGGGAAACUCCAGCGAGCGAUUCAGGGUGUGCGGCGGUCUCUCACCUCGGUAGAGCAUGCGCAGAGGCUUACCGCGGUGAAGACGAGUGCAGCGGUGGUUUUGGCGCCGAGGAUGGGUCACUGGUGUGGCCGGCGCUGAGCGGCGGAGCUCUCCGGCGAUGGCACUGCGGCGGAGUUGCUGCGGCUGCUGCACUCGCAAGCGGAGGAAGGAGACGGGAGCGGGGAGGGGACAGAAUGGAGUGGCCUAGGGGCGCGGGGCGGCGUCCCGACCAGGUUAAGGCCGGUCGGCCGCGGUGCGUCCACGACGCCGACAUACGGCCGCCACGUGGCCGGCGUCGGGUGGACGAAGGCGGGUGUCCGCGCGUGGGAGAGAGAGGGAGGGAAAACCGGGCCGCGCUGUCUGGCUGGGCCGAAAGGGAGGCGUGUCGGCCCAGCAGCGCCUGCCCCCUUUCCUUUUUUUGUUUUGAAAUUAUUUUUCCAAAAAGCUUAAAUGAGACUUUUGAAGCUUUUACAAAUCUUUUUAGGGGUUGGAGUAAAAACAAGAAUUGUUCCCCACAAAAUUCCAUACAACUUUGUUUUAAUAAGCAAAGCCAAAUUUCAAAUAGAAUUUGAAUCACAAAUUAAAACUUGUCCUAGGUUUUUAAUAAAUUCAUUUUUAGGGAUUUUUGUAUAAAUUCCAUUUCUCAAUUUCAACCUAAUUUGGGCAUUUCAAGAAUUUUAGAAACAAGCAUAAUAUUUUUACCAUAUUUAAUUCACAUAAAGUAAAGCACAUAAAAUCACACUUGAAUGAACGACAUGCUCAUGUGAUGCUAUGCUUAAUGAGAAUGCUUGUGGAUGGUUUAUGAGACUAAGUGCAUGCUUAACACCUAGGGUGUUACACUUCCCACCACCUUUUGUAUGACUGGGUGAUGAAAAGGGCCGGAACCCAAGCCGAUAGAUCAAUAUUUGUCAUAUCGGCAUCUGGCUGGAGCUGAGCUAUUCUGAUCCACUCAAGUCCACUGGUCAUUACCUCCCUCGGCUUAACCACAUCGGCAUAACAAAGUUUAAUGGGUAGCUGACCAAAAGCCAGCUGGCGAGCUAGUGCCAAUGGGUUGUAAAACUCAUAGGUUGUGCUGGUGUUCUUUCCGCUGCCAAAGUUGUUUUCUAGGUUUGCUCUUGGGGUAAUGAUUGCCAUCUUUAUAUCAUUAUCCUUGUUAAGUGCAUCAUCGGCAAAGUGGAAAGUGAGUGGAAAUCUGGACUCUGCAUCUUCAUAAGGCAUCCAGGCUCGCUGAUAUUUGGAAAGGCCGUCGUAUAGUGUUUGAAAGAAUCGGCCAAUCUGUUUCUCAUUUGCAUCGAUACCAGGGAGAACUAUGAUGGCUUCGCCGUAGUUAGGGCGAGCAUGUUGUCGAUUCAUCCUCUGCUAAUUUAUAAUCCUUAGCAAUAUCUCAUGGGAACUGUUGUGCAAAGAAAUCCCACCAAAGUCGCCUUAUGCAUAUGGGCGUUGAGCCACAUGUUAAUAAACCACCAAGGACCUCCCAGGUUGCCGAUCGGUUCACCUAGCAGGAGUUUCUCGGCUACUUGGUGGAGGAGGUGAUAGAUAGAACCCAACAGAUAUCAGCCAAGGGGAAAUCGGUUAACAUUGGCUAGUCGCUCUGCUACCGAUAAGUAGAUAGAGGUUGGCCCUACCGAUCGGCCAUAGAAGAUGAACUUGUCUAACCACAUAUUUAGAAUGAUGAACUUGUCAAACUUGCAAAAAGUAAAGGAUUGCAGUAAAAGAAAGAGAGGAUGGGAAUGCAUUAACCUUAGGAACAACGAAGUUGAUGGCCAUAUCCUUCUGAAGAGAAGAAAGAAUUGAAGGUUUGAAGAUUCUAGGAGGGCUUUGCCGUAGGAGAGCUUUUUCACUGCCGAAGUUCUUAAGCUCUUCAUUAAUGCCUCCGCCGGGGAGAUGAACUUGAGAAUGGGGAAUGACGAGGUAGAGGAUGAGUACUGGGGAAGGAAGUAUUUAUAGGUUGAAAUGAGCAAGGGUAUUUUUGACUUAUCUCUUUGUCGUAUCCAUGAAAUUUGAGGUUGUUCAGAUGGAUAUGGUAACUGUCCGCACGAUAAUCAAGGGAUUGUAUAGGUGAUUUGAUGGUAAGUAAUCAUAAUUUUAGGAGAUAUUCCACUGUAUGCAAUCUUUUGGUCGGUCCAUCGGUAAUCAAUCCUAAAAGAAAAGUUGCCGAUGAGCGUGUUUCUAUGAGAUUUGGUUCGGAUGGUUGAGAGAUCCAAGGUAUUUACUGGGAUGUAGAGGUCAGAAUUAAGGUUGUUUGGAUUUGGUAAUUAAUUGUUACCAGAAGGAAAUAAUUAUCAAAAGGUCGUCAUUAUCAGGAGAGAUUUGGAGCAUUAAUAAUUUCAUACUCCAAAAUUAGGGGGCAUCUGUUGACACCGUUUUUGGGCACAAGUCAGGAUGGUCAGUGAAACUUGAUCGGCAGUCAAGGAGGUGCUGUGUCUAGCCGGUAAGAAGAUUGUCGAUAACUGAUGAUGCCGAAGACCGGAUGAUGGGUGGAAGAUGUUGCUAAGCUUGACGGUAGCCACUGAUCAUUGCUGAUUGGUUGCCGAUGUUGAUGAUUGCCGAUGCCGAUGAGGAAAGGUUUGAGAGUAGGUAAGGAUACAGGGAGUAUGUCGAUGGUGAUGAAAGGAUACAGGGAGUAUGCCAAUGAUGAUGAAGGGAGACGUGGGAGUUGCUGGGAAGGCAACGGUGAUAUGCCGAUCACCAGGAUAGAUAGGUGUUUAUUUUCUAUAUUUGUUAGAGUUUGCCUUAUGUAAGAGUCCUGUUUGGUUUAGAAUUAAAUCCUAGUCGUAUAUGGUUGUAACUCUUUAGGACAGAGUAUAAAUAUAGGCCUAGUAGCGAUGUAAUAGGGGAAUCAAUCAAUCAAUAUCAUACACAAGUUUUACAUCUACUUUUACAUCUACUUUUUGAUGAUUUUGUCAACUCACAUAAUUUUUUUUAUCUAUGAGUUCUUAAGGAUUCAUCGAGCAAUACUCAGUGAAUUCUCGAGUUCCGUGUGAAUACCUAUUGGCCGUGGCAUCCGGUUGCAUCGCUGUUGUCGGGACCAAAGUAUUCAAGUUAUCACCUUUGUCGAUUGCUAGGUCAAAUCGGCUGGCACGCCUCAAUGCUUGAAUGGGGUAUUAGCCCUUUGUGUUUGCAGAUCUAUUUUUGCAUCAAUAGAGUUUCGUCCUCCUAUUGCAGUCAACUUCCAGCAAACAAGUAGUUAAGUUUAGCGACGUUAGUGUAUGUCCGCUAAUAUAUUAGAUUGGUUCAUAGGAGUAAAGUUAGAGUCAUAGGAGUCUUUUCUCACUCAUUGUCCUCCCACCUAGCUACACUACACUAGUUAUCUUAGAGUUAUCCAGAACCACAUCAACCUUCCUCUACGUCUUUGUUACCUCACUACCUUGGUUGAUCCUAGCUGAGAUAGGAUUUCCCUUCCUUGCUAUCUCUUCUACCACGCUUUCCCUUAGAUGAACUAUAAAUUACGACACCGCGGAUACUCACCACGGUUGAAGUGCUACAUCGGUAUCUAUGCGCUUGCAGAGUUACCCCUGGUACAUGUUACGUCAUCUCUAGAGUUUAGCGUUGCUUAGCAGUUCUGGAGCCGUUGCUCAAGGCAGCCUGACAACCUAUCCUAAUAACAGCUCAAGCUUGCAUUUAAGCAGUGCUGGUUAGGCGCCACCAUUUCUAGAUACUUGUCACAUCUUACUAUAGCCAGUGUGCGUUAUGAUUUGCCAACAAGCAUUUCUGGCGCCAUUGCUAGGGAAAGCAUAGCCUAGAAAUUUGUAGCAGGAACGAAUCAGGUAAAACAUCAUCAACUUAGAUCAAGUAGUUUUAGGUAGUUACCCCUGCCUGUGUUUCUCUUCAUUGUGAAACCAGGUAGUGUAUGAGUGAUUUCCAGUUCAAGGCAACCACAUUAGCCGAUUUAGAGAGAUCUCGAAGGAAUUCUAGACUUCGUCUAGUCCACCAUCAGAGAUCCAGCUCACACUUGAACUCACUCAAGGAAGGAAGCUUAGCACCAAGAAUUAGGAUGUCGAUGGUCAACCAACCCAUCGCCGACUUCUCAUCUCCCUCUGUGACCCAUAUCUCAUUGGGACCACAAGUGGAGAUUAGAGAUAUCGACUUUUAGAUCCAGCCAUCGCUAAUCUGUAUGGUGCAAGCUAGUGCAUUUAGUGGGAAACCACACGAGGAUGCAAACACACACCUUCAAAACUUUCUAGAAGUGUGUAGCACCAUCGCUAUCAAAGGAGUCACAGUGAGAGUCAUUCGCCGUCGCUUAUUCCCAUUCUCUCUGCUUGGGAAAGCAAAGCAAUGGUUCUACGCUCUCCCUGAUGAUGUUGACACAUGGAGCGAGUGUGCUACAACAUUCCUCAACAGGUUCUUCGCAAUGAGCAAAACAUCAGCUCUGCGGGCAAGAAUUUCCAGCUUCCGUCAAAAGGCAGAAGAGACCACUCCUGAAGCAUGGGAACAUUUCCAUGAGUACAUUUGGGAAUGUCCUCAUCAUGGAAUCAAGGAAUGGCUCCUGAUCCAAGGUUUCUACCAUGGGCUAACACCAGAAGCCAAUAGUCACCUUGAUGCUGCUGCAAGAGGGUCAUUCACAUCCCUCAAUGUCGCACAAGCAAAGAAGCUCAAGAGUGGAAUGAUGAACGUCCUAAACCCAAGAAAAGAGGCACCCACACCAUUGAGGAGGUGAACGCCAUCUCUCAAAAGAUGGAACUCUUGAUGAAGAAAAUAGAAGAAACAUCCAACUUCAAGAAAGAUCAAGAGGCCUGUUGGCAGUCAUUAUAGACCAAUUAUAAACUGCCAACUUGAUCCAAAAGGAGAAGAAGCAGUCAUAUUAUAUACACACAUGCAUUUUAUUACUAACAAGUUCCACUUGUACCAUACUGAUUAUAUUUUGCAGGAAUUAUAGUGCAACAAGUGAAAAUGUGCCAUACCACGAAGAAAGCUCAAAGUACCAAAAGACGUAUUCAAAAAUGCACAAACCAAGAAAAUAGAGAAAGGCCCGAACAACAUAGAACUGGGCCUGAUCGUAACCACGGGAGAGAUCUAGGCCUAGAGCCAAACCGAUCACACGAAGGCGGUGGCCAGGGGGACCCACCUAGGGUGCGGCCGCACCCUGGUGCGGGUGCACCCCUAGAGGCGGCAAACCGGGCCCAUCUUUCUGAGGCGGUUGCAUGCCGUAAUAAAUAGGACGGUUUCACCUACUACCAAAUUUAGAUGCGAUGAACCGUUCUAGUUCCACUAUAAAAAGAGAGGCACUCCCCCCUUUUCAACACACACAUCAUUUGUAGUCAAUUUACCUCACACCUCUCACUUGUAUCUAGAUUAGUAGUAGAGCAAGGCAAGAGCUAGCAAGGAGAGCUAGUCUCCUUGGAAGAAAGUAUCUUCUUGGUAUGAAUAAUAUUCAAUCUUCUUCAAUGGGCAAGUUCUAUUCAUCUUUAUAUGAUUAUGCAUGUGAACUAGAGUAUGGUUGUGUUCUUAUCAUGUUCAUAGUAUAUGAACUAGUUCUUUGUUCUUGUGCUAUGUUCUUGAUAUGUUCAUCACUGUUCAUCAGAUUAGUAUGAUUAGGAUUAGAAUUAGGAAUGGGAUGAUGGUUCAUUGUGCUGUGAUGGUUGCUCUUUGCCUAGCCUGUCACUCUGAAGGGGUGGGGCCCGCGGGGGUUAGGAGUUGUUUCCAAUUACGUGAACAUGGUGUUCAGGUAUGCGGGAAUCAGUAGAUGUACGGGUAUCUUUCUGGUAGAGGAGUAGGACGCUGGGUAGUGACAGCUCUAUCAUCCUUUGCAUUCCCCCACGAUCAGGUAUUCCGAUAGGAGUUCUGUAAAGUCUCUAUCAGCUGGGUAUCCAGCUGCAGGGAUCUCCCCUCAUCUCAGGCUUUGUUCUAACUCUAUUUAUUGCUAAUUAGAUGAUCCGCUAAUAGUUCUAUGCAUAGUUAUAUGUGACCCAUGCCUGCUCAAGUAGAUUUAUUUCAUUAUUCAUUAUUUAUUAUUUAUCUUCUAUUUUAUCCUUGAGGUUGAUCCAAUGUGUGUCCACUAUCUUGAAUAUCAUGUUUAUUCCUGUUUACUCUAUGUCUACCAAGCAUUCAAUAAGUAAUCAUGUUACACCAUGUUUGAUCCCUUUGCCUUCACACCCUUGAAUACUCAUAGGUUAAAAUGCUACAAUGAUAGUUCUGUCCGCUUGCAGUUAUAUUACUUCUUCAUUCAUGAACUAUCGAUUGGCGUACCUAAGUACCAUUACUUAAGAUUGUAAUCCUUGUCCACUUUCAAGCGUAGUGCCACAGCUUUGCAUAUCGCAAGUAAGGAUGGUUAGGAAGGCCAAUCCGACAUUCCUAAUUAUUGUUACCAGACUUCACUGCUAAGGUCGGCGCCCUCGAGUUGCCUUGGGUUAUAUCUCUGAUGUAGCGAUAGUUACGGUAUGCUAACACCCAACAUUUCUAGUGCCAUUGCUAAGGAUGGAUCUAUGGUCUAUUUUUAGUAGUGACGCUAAGAAAUGCCAACAAGGCCAUCCAACAAUACACCUCAGCAUGUGCUGUUGAAGCAAUUCAAAGGUGCGAGGUGCAAGAAGAAACUCCAGAGGUCGUCUCCGCAUUUGACAAUGGGCAACCAUGACACAGCGGACUGACCCCACGCUUCCAAGGCCAAGGUAAUUUGCAAAAAUCUAGCUGGCCUACGCUUAGAGAUCUUGUUGUUAAUCAAGCUAAAAUUAAUGAAGGCAUAAAUAAAAGGCUGUUAGCUGACGACAAGAUUCUUGAAUUAUUAACUUCUAAAAUGGACUCUCUAGCUUCUGUUGUUAAGGAUCAACAGAACAUUAAUAAGGUCUUAGAGUCCCGGAUGACUCAAAUUGCUACUUCUGUUAAUUCUUGCUAUUCCUCAAAUGCGGUGACCACGAGAGGGGGUAAGACCACUUGUGAUCCACCAUAUUCUAACAUGAUAAGGAAACUGGCAAGGAAGGACAAGCAGGAUGAAGAAGACAUGGUAGAAGAAGUAGAGCUUCCAUCAACAGAAGAAAGUACCAAGUUCAAUGGGAAAGUGGCACCACAUGAGUUUUAUGAUAGAAACCUAAUGAUGCCAUUCCCCAGGAUGAGGACUCAAAAGACCAAUGAACAAUCCGACAAAUUUGUUGAGGUAAUUCGACAAUUAUAUGUCAAUAUCCCGUUACUUCAUGCAAUGCAGGUUCCCACCUACGCCAAGUACCUGAGAGACAUCCUCCACAACAAGAAGCCGCCACCUAAAACCGAGGUAAUUAAACUAAUUGAAGAAUGUAGCGAAGUCAUCUUGAAUAAAUUCCUAGAGAAGAAGAAGGACCCCGGGUGUCCCACCAUUGAUUGCUCCAUCAGGAAACAACAUUUUGAGCAUGCUCUGGGCGACUUGGGAGCAAGCGUCAGUGUCAUACCAAAGGUAAUUUUUGACAAAUUAAAUCAUACUACAUUAUCCCCUACAUCAAUAUAUUUGUAGCUUGUGGAUCAGUCGAUUCGCCAUCCAGCGGGAGUAGCUGAGAACAUCCCUGUCAAGGUACGCGAUUUCCUUGUCCUUGUGGAUUUCAUAUUCUUGACAUAGAAGUUGACAAAAAGGUCCCCCUCAUCCUUGGGAGACCAUUCCUCAGCACUGCCAAGGCACAUAUUGAUGUGGAGCUAUAGAGAUUCAAUUCACCAUCAAUGGGGCUCAGGAGAAAUUCAACUUCAAGCCAAAAGUUGAGUAGUGCUCAAUGAUCUUGGCUACAGAGCUGGCUACAAUUAUUGCCCUGACGCACACCAAAAAGAAGGCUAAAUCAAUACCAUGGGCAAAAGCCAAGCAAAUAUGGAAGAGAAAAAUAGUGCCUCCACCCAAGAAGGAAUGUACAGCACCUGAGGGAGGUCCUAAUGAAAGGACCUGAGGCAACUACUCUUCCAUCUAGGUAAGUCAAACUAAGGUGAGUUUUCAAACUUUUAAAUUUAGCAUUUAUUUUCAGCAUUUAAUUCUUAGUUUUUCUUAAUUCAAAACAUUUUUUCUGUUGACCAUAGUUGUGCAUAUUAAAACCUAAAAUCAACCUCUACUUAACAUGCUAAGCAAAUGGACACCAGGUGGGUCCCAAGGCUAGGUUGACCGACCUGCCCUUGGUGGGUCCACCUGCUCAAUUUUUGCUCCAUCAUCACAGAGUCCCAUGCUCAUGUUUGUGCCAAAGUGAAAACUGAAUUUCAUGACAUGAAUUGCUUCACAAGCCUACUAGAGAAUCUAGAUGAAGCUAGCUUGGUAACUUUUGUGACUUUAAGCAAAGAAGUUUUACUACACAAUGCAUGAUUGCUCUGUUUGAGUGCCACCAGAGCCUUGGGGAGGCCAAAUCAUGGUCAGUCGACCAUGAUAUUGGGCCCACCUCCCUCCAGCUCCUGGUAUUUGUGAUCUUAUGGCUCUAGGAUGCGUGUUGCAAGAAUGUAAGAUAGGUGGCUGUCAACUAAAAUUCCUAGGAAUUAGUGGCUCUCACUCACCUUCUUGCUUAGUAUAAUAGAAUUAACAAAUUGGCCAUAAGCAAUCCAAGGGACUAGAGGAAAAUUUUCAUGACAAUCCUUCUCCCUAACCUCACUUAUGCCCCAAUCCACCAUUCAUUUUGGCUAAGCAAUCUUAUUUAGCACUAAGCUAAUCACAAAAGGAUGAGGAGGAUUCUCCCAUGAGAACUCAUGACACAAAAUGCCAGCAAUCCUAGUCUUGUCUUUCCCCCUCUCUUUUGCUUUCUUUCCUUUCAGCACUUCAUCCAAGAAAGGGAGAUGCCAUGCACCACCAUCCAAAGCAUGUUACGCAUGCACCGAACAUGGAAUGACCUCCACUCACUCUCAACUUUGUCACAAAGCAGAAGGGGGAAGAAAGAUGGGUCGGUCGACCCAAUAUGAAGGACACCAUCACAUGCAUUGUGACCCAUCUCCCAUUGCAUUGCUCCUGGUGACUGCACACUUUGAAAAUGUGGAGAGAGGCUGGUCGGCCGACCGUGCUUUGGUGCACCCAGCACAACCACUUGCUUGCAUUGGAUUCUAGAAGAUAGGUGCCACGGCCACACAGCAAAACUACCUAGAAGUGAAGGUCGACUGACCUCCAUAAAUACACACCAGCACUUCUCCAUACUCUCACCUUCAUCCAAACACACUCACCCUCUUGUGCACUCAACCAACCAGCAAGAAACCCAUUCUCUUCUCCAUUUCUUAACCAUCCUUUUCUCCAAAACAAAAAUCCAAAAACAUUUUCUUUUUAUCCUUACUAUCCAAGAGUUCAUCAUCAUGAAGAAAGUCAGGGGUUGGGGGAAGUCGGUGCUCCAUCAAAUUUCCUUUAGCUCUAGUGACUCCUCCAUGCAAGAUGCCCGGAGUCAAGCAUCAAGGUAGCAAGUAUCAUCUCCACCACCUCAAGUAAAUGAAGAAGCUGUCCCCGAGAAAAUUCAAGAUGAGGAGACCGGCAUAUGGCUCACUCCCACUGAGAUGGAGAAGCUUGAGGAACUCCGCGACCAUGAAUUUAUUCACACCAUGCUGAUAUCUCUUGACUUUCUCCAAAGCAUGGGUUUAGAUGAUGAAUUCAUAGAAGUUUUCAAGAAAAUGGGGUGGGAUGAAAUUUGGGAUUUGUCUAAUGUAAAAGGAAGUAAAAUUCUCACCCUAGAAUUUUAAGCACCCUAAGAAUAACAACAGAGAAAAUUUAUUUUAGAGAGCUUAAUAAUGAGUUUGACCUUCCAUGGGAUGUUUUCUCUACAUGUCUUGGUUUUGAUAAUCCCAACAUUAAAAUUGAGCAUGCCACUAAGCACAUGAACAAGAAAGAAUUUUGGUAUGAAAUCACUGGGGAAAAUUAAGAAGGAUGGCAACCACGUACUAGUCACAUAUGCAAUCCUACCUUGCUUUUCUUGCACCAGUGGAUAGGACUCAGUUUGUUCCCUCGAGAUAACAUUAGAAUCGUCAGGGAAAUUGACACUAGGAUCCUAUUUGCCAUGGUUCAUAAAAUUUCAAUUUCAUCAGUGGUAGAAAUGGCUAAACAUUGGAUAUGGGCAUCAUCCCAACCAAGAAGGUGGGCCAUUGAAUUUACUUCUGUGGUUACAAAAUUUAGUGCACGCCUAAAUCUGCUCAAUAACUUUGAUAGAUACAAAAUUUCUCCUAGAGUUGUCUUGCACAAAAAAUUUUACAUUCGGGACCAAUAUCUUAAGGGAGGAGCAAAUAACUCAGUGUUCUUAAAAGUUUAUAAUACCAAUGAAACAAUUUUAUUGUCCUGUUGUUGGCGUUUCUUAGCAUCAUUACUAAAAAUAGACCAUAGAUCCAUCCUUAGCAAUGACACUAGAAAUGUCGGGUGUUGGCAUACCGUAACUAUCGCUACAUCACAGAGAUAACCCAAGGCAACUCAAGGGCGCCGGCCUUAGCAGUGCAGUCUGGUAACAAUAAUUAGGAAUGCCAGAUUGGCCUUCCUAACCAUCCUUACUUGUGAUAUGCAAAAUUGUGGCACUACGCUUGAAAGUGCACAAGGAUUACAAUCUUAAGGAAUGGUACUUAGGUACGACAAUCGAUAGUUCAUGAAUGAAGAAGUAAUAUAACUGCAAGCGGACAGAACUAUCAUUUUAGCAUUUCAACCCGUGAGUAUUCAAAGGUAUCGAAUUUAUAAUUCUUGUAGGAAGGCAAAGGGAUCAAACAUGGUGUAAACAUGAUUACUUAUUGAAUGCCUGGUAGACAUAGAGUAAACAGGAAUAAACAUGAUAUUCAAGAUAGUGGACACAUAUUGGAUCAACCUCUAGGAUAAAACAAAAGAGAAAUAAUAAAUAAAGAAUAAAGAAAUAAAUCUACUUGAGCAGGCAUGGGUAACAUAUAACUAUGCAUAGAACUGUUAGCGGAUCAUCUAAUUAGCAAUAAAUAGAGAUAGAACUAAGCCUGUGAUUAGGGGAGAUCCCCGCACCUAGAUACCCAGCCGAUAGAGACUUUACAGAACUCCUAUCGAAAUACCUAAUCGUGGGGGAAUGCAAAGGAUGAUAGAGCUGUCACUACCCUACCACCUACCCCUGUACACGAAAGAUACCCGCACAUCCACUGAUUCCCGCAUACCUGAACACCAUGUUCACAUAAUUGGAAACAACUCCUAACCUCCGUGGGCCCCACCCCUUCGGAGUGACAGGCUAGGCUAAGAGCAACCAUCACAGCACAGUGAACCAUCAUCCCAUUCCUAAAUCUAAUCCUAAUCAUACUAACCUGAUGAACAAUGAAGAACAAUGAUGAACAUAUCAAGAACAUAACACAUGAACUAAGAACUAGUUCAUAUACUAUGAACAUGAUAAGAACACAACCAUACUCUAGUUCAUAUGCAUAAUCAUAUAAAGAUAAAUAGAACUUGCUCAUGGGAGAAGAUUGAAUAUUAUUCAUGCUAAGAAGAUCUUUUCUUCUAAGGAGACAAGCUCUCCUUGCUAGCUCUUGCCUUGCUCUACUACUAAUCUAGACUAAAGAUACAAGUGAGAGGUGUGAGGUAAAUUGACUCCAAAUGAUGUGUGUCUGGAAAAGGAGGUAGUGCCUCUCUUUUUAUAGUGGAACUAGGACGGUUCGUCGCAUCUAAAUUUGGUAGUAGGUGAAACCAUUUUAUGCAUGGCGGCAUGCAACCACCUGAGAAAGAUGGGCCCAGUUUGACGCCUCCAGGGGUGUGCCCGCACCAGGGUGUGGCCGCACCCUGGGUGGGUCCCCCUGGCCACCGCCUUCGCGUGGUCGAUUUGGCUCUGGGUCUGGAUCUCUCUCGUGGUUACGAUCUGGCCCAGUUCUGCGUUGUUCAGGCCUUUUUCUAUUUUCUUGGUUUGCGCAUUUCUGAAUACAUCUUUUGGUACUUUGUGCUUUCUUCGUGGUAUGGCACAUUUUCACUUGUUGCACUAUAAUUUGUGCAAAAUAUAAUCACUAUAGUACAAGUGGAACUUGUUAGUAAUAAAAUGCAUGUGCGUAUAUAAUAUGAUUGCUUCUUCUCUUUUUGGAUCAAGUUGGCAGUUUAUAAUUGGUCUAUAAUGACUGCCAACAAGUCCCCCAAGCUUAACCUUUGCUCGUCUCGAGCAAAUAAUUAAGUAUGGUUGUUGAUCAGGAGUUGCUACUACGCCGAUAUAAUUCAAGAGUAUCAUACCUAUAACAAAGUAUUCAUUCACAAUUUAAAUAAGUUGACAUGCUAUCCACUCUUUACCUUGACUGCUCAUAGGGCUUAUAGCUUUUCCAAGUUCUUGGGUGGUUGCAAGAAAGAAUGGUUGUAACAGACUCACCAUUCAUUCAUCCCUUGAUAGACCAUCAAUCUGGAGGUUUUAUAAAUUUUUGCAAAAUAAAUAAGUUCCUCGAAUGAUUCUCUCGAUCGCUCAAUGUGUAUAAAAUCCUCACCAAAGGCACGGUCCUUAAGUACCAAAUAUAAUCAUCAAAUAAAUAAAGAGAAGGAUCCAAAUGCAACUAACACCCAGACUUAGGGUUUUAUCUGACAGAAUUCCAUGAGUUUUGGUGUUUAUCUAUUUCUGCAGGGGGUUAUCAGGAAAUACGGAAGAAAGGCCCACACGUCGGGUUUACAUAGAGAUAUUAAUGUGCCGCGCAAUUAUCUUACAUCUAGAAGACUCCAGAAGCCACGGGAAGGAAGCGGAGGCCGAACGGGGCCAGGCACUGGGCGCCCCCCCAGUUGACCUGGGCGCCCGCCCCCCUGCAGAGUUGGAUCAGGACUCUCUUAUGGGACUAAUCUCCACCAACCUAAAGGAUCAAGGAUAAUAGUCCAAUCAAUGUCGGUUUGAUCCAACGGCUCACGUUCACUUGUGGGGACUAUAAAACCAGACCCCCUGGCCCCUGGAGGAGACAAGUUUUUCAUAGAGUUGAGAGGAGCCCUCGAGGGAAUACCUCUCCUCUAAAUAAAAUAUCUUUUUAGGCUUAGCAUCCAAUGUGAGUAGAAAUAGAUCUUCUUGUUUCUACUAGAUUGAGAGAUAUAGAGUGGAGGUGUAGAUCGGAGGAAGCCCGGCCUGUCGGUGUCUACUCCAAGGUUGUACCUGCGGGAUCAAGUCUUCUAACCCGAGGCUUGCUCCUAGGAUUCUUCAGUAAUUCAACUUCUAAUUCUAGUAAGUCCUUGUUUUAUUGUUCUUUGGUUUAUGAGUUUACUUUAAUCCCUUCCGGUUGAAUAUUAGAGUAAUCAUUGCUAGCGUAAACGUGGUGUUUAGGCUAGGGUACUCAUAGAUAUCCCCUGACUAGCUGGACUGUGGUAGUAGCGAGGAACGUGACAUUUCCGAGUUACCUUUGUAUCCCACAUCUUGUUAGCUGGAUGGGUAGGUUUAUAGGUGCGGGUCGAACAUCCUUUGUGGUGUCUAGAUUCCGUAAGCUUCCCCAAUAGAAUAGUAGAUCAUCCUUACCAAGGUUAGAACGAGACUACGGUUGCAGUCUUCUCUAUACAUCACUCACAUCGAGAAACAUUCUUUGUAGCCUAAAGGGUAGUAGCAAUAGAUUUGGUUAGUCAGAUGCACGCUUUCUCCCAGUGGUAAAAAUAUAAAUACGAUACUCUGGAUAACCUCCCAGGUGAAAUGCUCACUGAUAUCCGUGCGCUUGCGGAUCAUUUCCUUAUUGCGUUACCAAAUAUCAACAAGCAUUUCUGGCGCCAUUGCCGGGGAGAAAGACAGUUUGCUGAGAUAACUUUAAGUCUUGCUAUUAUCUUGUAUUAUACUUUUAUUCUUUUAUUCUUUUAUCUUUUUAUUUUUUCCAUAUUUAUGGAUAACUUAAAUUCCACACCUAUUAUUGAAUUCUUUGCACCUUCGGAGACCGGCCAUAGACCAUGGGAGUCAACAAGUCCUGCCCCCUAAUUAUGAUCUAUGUCUGGAGUUGAUUGCAAUAGGUCAAAACCAACCCUUUUCUAUAGCCGAGGUCCUAUCUUUUAAUCAAGAAGAUAAUGAACUUUUAGCUACACCUAGGGAAUCUGUUAAUCUUUCUAUAAAUUCUGGUUUAGACCUAGCCCUACAAGACCAUGUUUUUUCUCGAUAUUUUCACAUUGGUCUUAAUCAUAUAACCUUUGGUAGAUCUUUCUUUCUUUAUCUAUAAGUAAAGAAAGGUAUGUCUUCAUUUGUGGACAUCCUUCUUGCACUAGUCUUCAUAAUAAAUUCCUAGAGAUAGAGAAGGAAUCAUCUCCCAGACAAGGAAAGGAAGUUUCAAUAGCCAAUUUCCAAACAUUCCAAUCACAUGAUUCGGCUAUCAAACCCAUCCUUGAGCUUAAUAAUUUCUACUAUGCUCUUUCUCUUAAACCUCCCGAUGAUCCUAUGAAUCUCUCUAGACAUCCCGUUCAUAAGAGUCACCAAGACCACAAGGAGGAUCGAGAAGAGCAACAUCAAUGGCUAGAGGGCAUUAAAAAUCCAUAUGCUAUCACCAUUGAAUGGAUGGAUAAAACAAACUUAAGAGACAAUCCUAGAGGAAUUUUAAGCAUUCAUGAAGAAUCAUCCUUGGAGUUUGAGAAUGAGAGAAACAACAGUGAGCAUGGAAGUUAUUUCAUAAAUACCUCACCAAGUCCUUGCUCAUAUAAAACAUCUCCCCAAUCAAUUGGUCUCUCCAACCUUACCACAUUUGAGAUCUCCAACCCCCUCUUCAAUUCUAUUUAUGAAAACAUUAAUAGGGUGGUUGUCGAUGCGUAUGUCUAUAAUAAAUAUUGCAGAUCUUGUUGAGUUGAUCUUGAUUUAAUUAGGCACGCUUAGGUUGGUGUUGGAGGGUGUUGGUGUUUUCCCCCGAGGGUCACACCAACGAGUAAAACUAGUGCGUGCUCCCCAUUCCAGAUGGUGAUGCAAGAAAAGACACAAAGAUUUAUCCUGGUUUGGGCAAGAGAAGGCCCUACGUCCAGCGGGGGGGGGGAGUGUUUGUAUUAUCUUGCACCUAAUUGCUUGUACAGGGGUGAAUACAAGCGUGGAAUGAAUGGAGAUGGAGUAAGGUUGCUCUACUACAUGUGACUUGUGUUGUGUCGUGCCCGCGGUGUCCGCUCCCGGACCUCCCCUUUUAUAGUUCCAAGGAGAGGUCUAGGGUACCUAUAUAGGCGACAGAGUAGGGGUCGAUAGAGGUAUGGCGUGCUGACCCACUCGAGGCCUCCGUACCGGCGUGGCCUCGAACCGUCUUGUCUUGGUACUUUGAUGAUGAUUACGCGUGCCUCUGUAUCCCGCUUCUGUGCGUCGUCCUGGACUGGUUUAUCUGUUGCACGCUUGUACGUCGUGGCAGCAGCUAUGUUGGAGUGGUUGAGGUGCUGUCGUUUGUCGCCCGAUCAUUCCCCAGGAAAGAAACGUGCGUACUCGAGGGUCAGGCGCCGUGUAGCGCCUUGCUGGCCAGAGCGCUGACUUUGGGUGUCUCGAGGGGGGUCUUGACAGGAGGUUCCGACCCUCUCUCUAUGCCCUGCCACGUUCUGGCUUGUUUGGUGGGGAAGACUGCAAAAAGAACGACACGACGGGUGCUUGUUCCCUAUCAUGCUUCCCGUGACUGACAGGUUAGGUGAGAGCGCAGCAGACGCAUUAAAUGCCGGGUCCCCGUGCCCAUGUCAGGCGGCGGGCGACGUCCUUGCGCUCGAGGACUUUCGAUUCGUAUGUGCCUGUUUCCGUAUUCGACGGUUGCCGGUGCUCGAGCCAUAAUCGAUUCGCACGACGCUAUUUCCGUGUUAGAGGCUACGGUCGUCGAGGACCGUUCGUACAACUGGGGGGGCGUCGAGUCAGAGGCCUCGACUUUCGUACGGAUGCUCUCACUAUGUACAUCAGUUAGGGUACCCCUUACUGAUAUCCUCGACAGUAGCCCCGAGUCUCCAUUCGAGCGCUUGCGCUCGAGUGGAGGCUCUUUUUUGUGGUCAAGUUUCCGUGGGGGCACGCGAGCGACCCCACGAGGGUAGCCCCCGAGCCCUUGGAGGAGUCUUUGACUCCUUCGAGGGUUAUAUUGCCCAAUCUGCGGAAGCGCUCCCGAUGUCUAUUGUGGAAGGCGAGCCGGAUGCUUCGAUUGGUUCGUUUUGCGCAGGGGUCGCGACGUACUCCCGGUGGAGCGAGCGCCGUCUACCCCAGAUUGAGCUCCUAGCGGCGUCCUCAUAAAGCAGGGUCAACGUGGUUGGGGUUACUGGUCUCGUUCGAUAGAGUCCAGCGACUCGAUGCCUCCCUUCGGGGGAUUCCUCUCGACCGUCUCGACCUUGCCUUGGACAUCCCCAGUGAAUUCUCGAGGCGGGCCUCGAUUUUCGACCACUCGCUGGGCAUCCCUGACUCUGGUACUCGAGAUCAGCUGUCGAACCCAUUCGGUGGGUCAGCCUGCGACCUCUCGAGAUUUUAGCUGUAACGAAUGCGUACCUUAGCUUAGAAGGGAAGAAAGAAGCCGUGGCGGUUCGCCUUUUUGCCCGUUGGGCGCGCCUUUUCAGGCGGGAGUCGUUGCAGCACUGUACUGGUGCGGAAUUCGUAGCGUCCUGUCUGUGAGAGAGAUAAGGGCCGUUAGGCGGCGCAUUUACUAGGGGAGUUACCGUAUACGCUGGAUCUGUCCGUUGGUGGAUCGCCGUCUAUAAAUAUCCUUGGGUCUCCCUGCCGUCGCUCCUUCCGCCUUUCGCCCCUGCUCUUGCCUCUGCCUUCCUACCAUCUCCCGUGCGCGCGCGCCCUCGAGCUGUGUGAGGAGGGCCUGACAGCCACGCUCGUCCUCUCAGCCGUCCAUCAUCGGAGGAUUCUCCCGUUGAUGUCUCGGCCGCUGAGGAUGGACGAGAUGGGUCCCGGCGUCUCGUCCCGGGAUCUCGAGGCAUGUCGGAUGUCCAACGAGGCCCCGGCGGAUGAAGAGGUUGCAGGCGACUUUUAGCCUGAGCAUGUCAAUGGCUUCCCUAUGAUGCCCGACGAGGGGUCAAUUGACCUGGUAAGUCCUUUUCCACCUUACGACUUCGAUUCUCGACUUUCUUCAGUCCUUCUUAAGACUUAUCAUUGCUUGCGCAGGGAUCGAUCGACGCUCCAUCCUCGAGGCCUCCAGUAAAGGAGGAUGAGGUCGAUCGUGACAAGCGGCGUGAGUCCGCGGAAAAGCAGAAGUCCGCAAAGGACUUAGAAAAGAAAAAGGAAAAGAAGAAGAAUCUCGAGCGCCAGGCGUUAGAGACGCGUCGAGCAAAGUCUAGGCAAAGGGGGGAGCCCGAGGAAGAAUCCCCGAUGAGGAUGAUGGCGGCGAUGGUGACAAUGAUAGCAAUGACUCCGAGGGGAUGGCGUCUCGUCUCGACCGGAUCCUCGAGGGCCCGCCUCAGACCAGCGUCGACAUCUCGCGGACGGGAGUCCCAAAGGGGGCGCUAAGCGGAUCUCGUGAGAGUCAACAGAGGGAGUCAUCUCCACGCUGCUCCCGCGCCGAUGUUCCCCCAGCGCCGGUGCAAGGUCGGACCGUCCCCCGCCCCCAACCUCCUCCCGCGUCUAAGACGGGGCCGCUGACUCAUGGCCGUGUCGCGGCCUCGAGUAAGGGGGAAAUGGGUCGCGGUGCCAGUCCUGGCGUUGGCCAGGCGAGAGACGCCGAGCCGAGACUCGCGCCCGCUCGUGAGGGGCCCGGAGCCUCGACGCGGGGUGGCCUGAGGCCUGUUGGUCGAGGCACCGGUAGGCGGGUCGCCCUUCCUGUGGGGUAAGAUUUUUGACAUUAUGAUUCUCACCUUCCGAUGUCUCUGCAUUUUCUCGGGUAACAGCUUCUCUUACGCUUGUCCCUCUCUCCUCAGUUUGAGCUCGAACAGGCCCAGCCCUCGAUGGCCAAGAGGCUUAAGGUGGGAGCGGCGUCCAAAGACUCAGGUUAGCGGUUCAUUCCCGUCGUCAUGGGAGUCAUGUUGCCCUUAUGUCGGUCAUCAUGGUGACUGACUUUUUGCUUUUGAGUGCUUACAGGCUCCUCCGAUCCUCGGCCGUCGGCCGGUGUCGAGAGCGCCCCGCCUCAUCCAUUGGUGGGGGAGUCCACCCCGCCGUCGCCGAAGCGGAUCGAGGCGCCUCGCCCCCAAGGGCAGGAGGGAGCCCCCGAGCCUCCCCGAUCUGGGGUCGAGGGGUAUCCUAUCUUAAUAAGCGACGGGUUCGGCGGCGACAGGCCUUCGAAGGACGCCUACCCCAUGGACGAGGAGAUCGAGGCUUCUCCCGUCGCGAAGCGGACGCCUUGGCCCAUCGGGCUCCACUCCGUCAAGGAGCAGAGGAAGAGAGGAGAGGAAGAACGUGAGCGGGAGACGCAGCAACAGCUGCAGGAGGGGCAGCAGCAGCCGCAGCAGGAGGGAGAAGAAGGAUAGGAGGGGCGGCGGCCAGAAGGAGCCCAGCUCGAGGAGCUGCUAGAGCAGGACCGGCAGCAGGAGCUGCGGGAGCUCCAGGAGCAGCAGCAGGAGAGUUGCCAGCAGUUAGAGGAACUGCUCGAGCCACCACCACGUAGUCCGCCCCAGCCAGUGCUGCCAAUGCCACAAGAGCCUGAGACCGGGGAGGAGGGUCUGCCGGUCUAUAUCCCGCCGACCCCUGCGUGGCUCCGUCCGGGAGCGCCCGCUUCCAUCCCGGCUGAGCCAGGGCGGGCAGACGGCGUGGUGGCGCUCGCCUGUAUGAUGCGCACCCCGGGGACCCUCAGUCCGAGAUCAAGGGCACGAUCUACGACAUCGAGGGGAUCGCUCUCGGGUUUCUCCGAGAACGAUGGUCGUGGGAGGAUCACAGACCCUCUAAGGAGGAUGAAGCCGGGACGUCGGGUGGUGGAAGACAGUGGAUGACGACGGGUGAUUCCCCUCCCUUAUCGACCUGUUUUUACAUCAUGGGGGGUCACUCGAGACGGUCCAAGAACUCAUCCGAGGCGUUAAGGCGCGCACGGAGGAGGAGAUGGAAAACUGGUGCCCUGACCGGAUCCGCAUCCAGGCCUCCAUCGACCCAUCCGAGCCUAACAUUUUUAUGGACGAUCAGAAGGAGGCUGAGAAGUGGGAGCAUCUCGAGGAGCUUCGCCUCUGGAUGAAGCAUGUGGUGGGGCUCCUGUCUGACGUCGUCAACAACGGGCUCGGUCCGGCCUACUUUGUAAGUGUCUUUGGGCAUUAGUUAUCGUAGGACAUUUUGGUUUUGUGUUCUUACUACUCCACUGCUUGCUCGCAGUAUCUGAAAGUGACCUCCUGCAUAAAGUCGAGCUUUAUUCAUGCGACGAGGGGCGGCUAGGAGCAACUCCCUCUCCUCAAGGACCAACUCCUAGAGUCGCAGGAGAAGCUCCUCAAGGCUUACAAGGAGCUUUUGGCGCUCGAGGAGGAGAAGAAGGAGAGAAAGGCCGCUCUGGCCGAAGCUCGGGAGGCCUCGAGGAAGGCGGUGGAAGAAGCCACGCUGCUGAGAGAGCGGACCGUGUCGGUCGAGGAGGCUGUGUCCAAGGACCAGGAAGAGGCCAAAUUUUAUAAGGAUGCAGCUGCUGACCUUGACAAGGAAAAGGUCCUUAUCAAGGCUGACGUCGCCUCUGCCCGAGAGGCGUUCCACGAGAUGAAGGUGGAGUGCGUGAAGGGUGAGAUCGCUCGAAGCGCCGCAGAGGAGGCCAAGAAGAAGGCCCUCGAGGAUCUCGAGGCUGAGUGAACUCGCUCUCGCAGGCUCUCUGACGAGGUCGAUCAUCUAAAGAGGGCGCUGCUGGAGAAAGAGGGAGCUAUGGUGCAGGUGGGCAAGGUGAUCGAGGACCUGUGCGUCACCAACACCGAUUUGGUGCGCUCCUACAAGGAGAUUGAGAGGGCCAACACCGACCUGGUCGGUGAAAAUACGGCUCUGGAGGAGAGGAUUCGCGGUAUGUUUCUAUUAUCGAGUUUCUUUUCUGAGGUGUGCUUUGUGUUAUCUAACUUCUCCAUGUUGGUCCUUGUAGGGCUUAAAGAUGAGCUGCUUGCUGCUCAAGUCGAGGCCCGCUCCACCAAGGCUCAGCUCGAGGGGGAGGUCGCUUUGAACGGUCGGCUGCGGACGGCGAUAAGCGAUCUCUCGGCCUCUUGGGAGCUCGAGCCCGUGGACGAGUCGAGGGAGGUGGCUCGAGGCGACGCACUGGUCGACCAGCUAUGCUAUCUAGGUGCCACGCUGAGGGACCGGGUGCUGGACGCCCUUCAUAUCGGGGUGAAGCGGGCAAUGGCGGUUGUCUGCUCAGGCUUUUCCUAUGAUAUGGAGGUGGUGUCCCACGGCUUCGUCACUGACAAGACCGACGCGGAGAAUGAGGAGAGGCUCCAUGCCUUGAUCGACGAUGCGGGAGUUAUGGGGAAAGGCUGGCGAAGCUGUUCGAGCCAGAAGUGCUUCCUCCCGAGACUAGCUCGGGUGCGGAUGAUGGUGGUGAGGGCCGGGAAGCAGACUGAGGCCUGCGAGCCUACUCUGGGUGCUAAGGCCCCUUGUACAGUACUUAUUAUUCUGUCUUAAGUGAUACUGUGUUUUUAAGUGGUUUAUAAGAUCUCUGAAUAUUUGCUUAUUCCUUUGUUCGCACCCUCUUUUGUUUCCUUUCUGCCUACGUCAGUAUUCCCCGUUUGAUCUUUUGUUAAGGCGACCUCGAUUGCCUCGAGGGUGAGGGAGCGAGUAGAGUUACCAUAGCCCGGGGGAGUAGGAGUUCUCAGGCUCAUCGUCUCUCGGUCCUUAAGGGGCUCGAGGUACCUCUACUACUUGAUCGUGCGAGGUUUACUGGUAGGAAAGAAAAAAAAUCACUUGGUUUUUUAGACGUUUGGGGGGGUCCCCCCUGCUAGCCCCCGAGGGGGUAUCGACUAUGAUGGGUCAUAGUUGGUACUCCCUUCUAACGACGAAAUUUCAACCAACGAAAAAGUAAUUACUCGAGGGAAAGAUCUUAUUCAUUCCUGCAUUCAUUCAUAAGGUCUUGGUACAGAAUGUACAUGGGAACAUAAAGCUUUGAAAUUCUAGGGGUAGAAUAGGCGUAGCUGUUCGAUGUUCCAUGCGUUGGUGAAGACUACCCCUUUUUCGUCCACGAGCUUGUAUGUCCCUGGCUUCAGGACCUCGGCUACCAUGUAUGGGCCCUCCUAGGGCGGAGUCAGCUUGUGGCGUCCUUGGUUGCUUUGCCGCCGCUGUAGGACGAGAUCACCCACGUUUAGAUCCCUUUUGCGCAUGUGCUUAUCGUGGUAGCGUCAGAGCUUCUGCAGGUAUCUGGUAGACUUGAGGAGAGCCAUGUCUCGAGUUUCCUCGAGCUGGUCGACCGUGUUCUCUUGAGUCUCCUUAUUUGACUGCUCGUUGUAGUCUUUUAGUCGAGGGGACCCAUACUCAAGGUCUGUUGGGAGCACAACCUCAGAGCCGUAGACCAUGAAGAACGGGGUGUAUUUCGUGGCCCUGCUUGGCGUCGUCCUUAAGCUCCAGACCGAAGAGAGCUCUUCGACCCAUUUAUUGCCGAAUUUCACUGGUUGUAGAUUCUUGGUUUGAGCCCCUGCAAUAUCAUUCCGUUGGCACGCUCGACCUGGCCGUUAGUUCAAGGGUGGGCCACUGCGGACCAGUUCACACGGAUGUGAUGCCGGUCACAGAAGUCCAAGAACUUUUUGCCGGUGAACUGAGUGCCAUUGUCGGUGAUGAUGACGUUGGGAAUCCCAAACCGGUGGAUGAUGUCGUUGAAGAAAAGGACGGCCUCCUCAGAGCGGAUGUUCGUGAUGGGUCGAGCCUCAAUCCGUUUGGAGAAUUUGUCGAUGGCCACCAGCAAAUGGGUGUAUCCCCCUGCUGCCUUCUGUAGAGGCCCUACUAGGUCGAGUCCCCACACCGCGAACGGCCAUGUGAUGGGGACCAUUGUUGACAGUCCUUAAGUACCAAACAUAAUCAUCAAAUAAAUAAAGAAAAGGAUCCAAAUGCAACCAACACCUAGACUCAGGGUUUUAUCUGACAGAAUUCCAUGAGUUUUGGUGUUUGUCUAUUUCUGCAGGGGGUUAUCAGGAAAUACGGAAGAAAGGCACACACGUCGGGUUUACAUAGAGAUAUUAACGUGCCGCGCAAUUUUCUAUCAUCUAGAAGACUCCAGAAGUCACGGGAACGAACGGGAGGCUGAGCGGGCUCGGGGGCAGGGCUCCCACCCUCCCCCCUUGGGCGCCCGCCGAGCUACAGAGUUGGAUCAGGACUCUCUUUCGGGAUGAUGUUCCACCGACCUAAAGGAUCAUGGAUAACUGUUCAAUCAAUGUCGGUUUGAUCCGACGGCCCAGGUUCACUUGAGGGGACUAUAUAACCAGACCCCCUGGCCCCUGGAGGAGGCACCUCUUGAUCAUUAUUCAUUAUUCAUAGACAGAGCAAAAGCUAGGGUUUAGAGAUGAGAGCUCUCCUCUCUUCUCUAAACAAGAGUAGAUCUAGAUAGUAGCGAGAUGGAGAGCGAAGGAGGAUUAGAGGAGAGGCCGGCCUGUUGGUUCUUCCUCCGGUUGUACUUCGUCAUGAUCAAGCUCUAAUCAAGCUUGCUCAUGGGAUGACUCUGGUAAUCUAGUUCUAAUUCAUUAUGCAAUUACUAAUCAUGUAUGUUCUGGUUCACAACUCUUUUGAGUACUUCUAAUCUAUAGGACCCUAUAGGUUAGAGUUGUAGUAUAGGUGUAAGCGUGGUGCUUAGACCUAGAUUACUUGUGGAUAUCCCCUGUCUAGCUGGAUCGUGUGGUAGGCUGCGUAGGUGACAGUUACGUUGGUCCUCUGUAGUCCACCUCUUGUUAGCAGGACGAGUAGGGUUUAUCGGCCUAUGGAUAAGCAUCCUUUGUGGUGUAUUCUUAUCACGUGGUUCGUCCCAGACAUAGACAUACACCUUUGAAGUAGAGAAACCAUAGUUAUCCUCUCUAUUCUGCUACCAUCGCCCAUAUACUAGAUUCCUCUACUCUCUAUUCCCAUAUUAUCACUCAUUGUUAUCUUACCUUUAAUAUUGUUCUUAUUCAAUUCUACCAUCUUUCCUAUUUACACUUAUCUAUCUAUCUUGGUUAAUUUAGAGCAUAGUAGGUUCUCCCGUUUCCCUGUGGAUACGAUAAAACCUUUAAUUUGGUAAAAGCUUCAACGGUAUCCGUGCGCUUGCGGAUUAUCUGUGUGCGUAUAAAUACCAUAGUACACUCUAGUGCCAUGCUGGGGAUGACAACCUAGUAUUCAAGUGGUGUUAGCAAGUGUCAACAAGCAUUUUUGGCGCCGUUGCUGGGGAAACGGUUGCUGACUUGACUAUGAACUAGCUUAAUCAUUUUCUAAAAAAAUAAAAAAAUAUAUAUAUUUUUCCUUUUAUCUUCUGCCUUAUCUCUGCUAUUCUUUCUUCUUAUCUAAUCCUUGAUCUUUGGUCUAUCAUGAAUUCAAACAUGUCUAUCUAUGAAUUUCAUAGACCUACGGGCACACAUCUCGAACCACCAAAAUCUUCAAAGCCUAUCAUAGCAUCUAGUUUUGAGAUAGACCCCGAAUACAUAGAAUUUGUUCAAAAACAACCUUUCUCCGGAGAAGGUGAGGAAAACCCAUACACACACCUAAGAGAGUUCUAUCGAGUCUGUGACCUCCUUCGCAAAGAAGGCAUGUCCGAUGAGACCCUUAAAUGGAAGCUCUUUCCGUUCUCUUUAACGGGAAAAGCUAGACAUUGGUACAAACUCAAAGUAGGGAGUGUUCAUGGAGAUUGGAAGGAGUUAUAUAAUAGUUUUCUUUCUAAAUAUUUUCCAAUCUCCAAAGUGGCGGAACUUCGGCGUAAGAUUAUUUCUUUUAGACAACUGGAAGAAGAAUCUCUUGGCAAAUCAUGGGACCGCUUUAUUAACCUUACUCUCACUGGCCCAAAGCUUUCUAUUCCAGAAGUUCUUCUAAUUCACUUUUUUUGAGGGCCUUAGUAGGAAAAAUAAGCAAACCCUUCAUGCGGCCUCUGGAGGAUCUUUCCACCACCUAUCCGCUAGUGAAGCUUGGAAUUUGAUUGAUCUAAUGAGCGGAAAGUCUCCUAGCUUUUAUAUCCCUGAGAAAGAGACAGAACCUGUUCCUAGGCAAGAAGAAGAAGUUUCGAUAGCCAGAUCACAACCACUUCAAUUCCAAACUUUAGCUAUCGAUCCUAAACCAUCAAUACCCCAAAAUUCUCCAAGGGAGGAAGGAAUUCUGACCUUAAAUCUUUCAGAUGCUGAUGGUUUAGACUUCUGGUUCCAUAAGAGACCUUCAAGCAGGGAUAAUUCAAAUCCUCGCAAUAAUGGUUCUCUUAGAGAAUAUCCUGGUUCCUAUUAUGAAGAAGUCAAGGAUGACAUAUCAAUUGAAGGAGAGCUAAGCCAUAUAGAAACUUCUAACACCUCCCCUUUCCGGAUCACAAGUUCCAAAUGGCUAGAAUGCGUAGAAUGGAUGGAUAAGGAAGAAGCUUUAAUGGAUUCUGACUUUGGCUCAAUUUCAAAUGGUGAGUUCUUGACUCCCUUUGAAGAAGAGAUUCAUCCAACUACAGAAGAGGACAUAGGUGAGACCAAUCCAGGAGAAACUCCGAACAUUUAGAUUGGAGACAAAGAUAACAUUAAUGAGCAUGGAAUUUAUUUCACAGCCACUUUGUUUACUCCAUGCUCAUAUGCAACAUCUUCCCAAUCUAUUGGUCUCUCCAACAUCACCACAUUUGAGAUCUCCAACCCCCUCUUCCUUUCUAUUUAUAAAAACUUUAAAAGGGUGGUUGUCGAUGCAUAUGUCUAUAAUAAAUAUUGUAGAUCUCGUUGAAUUGAUCUUGAUAUAGGUCAGCGUUGGAAGGGAAACCACUUCGCCGACAUAAAUUGAUGGUUUCCCAAGGACAAGCUUAGUGUCCUAAAAUAAGCGCUGAUCAGAUCGUAACAUGAGCUUUUAAUUAUUUGCAACAUUACCUUGCGUAUUGAGCAUAUAAGGAUAAUUGUAAAAAUAAUCCUUCGGGUAUUCUUGUCACUAACCUUUCUAGGAUUGGAGCAAGAAGAUCGGAUGAAUGACAAGCACAAGGUAUGUCCAACCAAUCAUCAUACAACAUUGAAUUAAAUCCAAACUUGAAUUUUGCAAAAUUCAAGCUUGGGGGAGUAAUUUACAUAAAAACACCCUUUGCCAUGUUGCUAUGUUGGUUGUCCCUACAUUUGAAACAUGCUCAAUUUGUUAAAUACUAAUCACACUACUUCAUCUCCACUUCAGUAGAUCUCUAUAAAUGCUGUCAUGCUACCUUUGUCUAUUUACUAGCAAGUGUUGCUUUGGAAGUACUCGACAUACUUUCCAUUGGCAUUUAAAUUAAGCAUGGUGCUUAUGUUAAAUAGCCUUCCUUAAUCUGAUUAGACAUGGAGUCUAGUUUGGUUACUGAACUAAAAACUGCUUGAGUAGAUAUUGGUAUAUUUUGUCGGACUAACCCCUACAGCAAAACUUUCACUAUCAACCUGGGAAGUCCUGAGAUAAACUCACAUUGGAGAUGAAGAGGGUAACACAUGAAGUUUAACAAUUUGCACAAGAAGGACAUAGCACAUUCAUCAUACAGAGAUGAUCCAUGGAAGGAGACAAAGUACAUAAACAAGAUACACAACCACUACGAAAGGAAAGCUUCCACAAGGUGAUACUAUACCAUCACUCUUCAAGUAAGGUAACAUCUUAAGAUAUCUGACUAUCACUUUUAUAAGCUUCUCCUUGGUUCUGGUGUUCACAUAAAUAAAGAGACAAACAUGUAUGAUUUAUAACUCUAAAUUAACCAACCCAACUGAUUCAGCAUGUUUAGUCCUUUAAUCUUUAUUCCUAGUACUACCUCCAUGAUCCCACACUCCUAAUCAUAUGAGCUAAAAUGUUAGACAUUUAAUCUUUGGGAAGAUAUGAAGAAAAAGGCAUAUAUAUAGAUAGAUUAUCUUUCGAUUAGGUUGAGCGAUCUGAUCCGGCAAAUGUUUGAAAUGCUACACUCAUGAACUUAUCAUUCAUCAACUUUGUCUUGCUCACCAUGCUUAAGGUUAGAGAAGAACAAAUACACUUUUGGUUCUGUUGGUGUUUUCCACCAACAGGGCCCAUGCACUUGAUCUCUGCCUUGUCUCUAUGAGCAGGUACACUACGAGCACAAACACACUGAGCAGGAUGCUGCCAAUGCCGCACUUCGAACUGCUGGGCAAACGAAGAACAUGGGUGAUACCGUAUCAAGAGGUGCAGACGUCAAGCUCCGCACCUGAAUCAGAUGACGCACCUAAAGAAUGAACACGGUGAGAAGUCUUGUUCAGAAGACUUAAAACAUUGAUCCAUCACCGAAAGGUAAAAUCGGUAGUUAUCCAUAUUUAUCCUUUUUGCAUUCCCUUUUCCCUUAAAUUAUUUACUUUCCUUAAAUGGCUUGUUAGUUAAUCAUGCUAUCUUGAAAAAAAAAUAAAAAAUGUUAAAAAUAGUAAGCCCCAUGUGAGUAUGCUCGUGGCAUAAAACCCAUAAGUACAUUCACUGUGGUGGUGUAAAAAUAAAAUAAAUAUAUUCUUGUCCUAUAGAAAUGAAAAUAUAAAAAUAAAUUUAUGAUCCUACCAAAGAGAGUAAUAUGUAUUAGAGGAAGCUCAACAUGAUAAAGGCAAAGAGAUUUUAUGCUAACACUUAACCAGUUCCACAAAGUUUUGUUGUCUAUUUGAGCUCCACAUAAUUCAAGGAUCAAAGAAGACUAGCAGACGGAGGACAUUCUAAUCGCUGUCAGGGUGCUGCCGACAUUCAAAUACACCUCCGCCACCUGCUAGCUCCAUCGAAAGAAAUUACGUCAAAAUCCAGCUUGGGGGAGAGCACCCCCAUUUAUCUAGCUCGGUAUUUCUAUCUACGUUUAUAGUUAUACUUUGUUAAAAUAAUAAAAAGAUGCAUAAUCAUAAAAACCCAAAUAAAGAUUUUAUGCUUAUAUAUAUAUCUUUUCUUAGUUUGCUAAAUAAAUAAAUAAAUAAAGAUUGCUAUGAACCCUCAUGAUAAGCUCUCACAUGGAUAUGAUGAAUAGUUGCUCUGCCAAUUACCUAGUUUUCAAAUUUGAGCUCUCUCUCAAGUUUAGGCAUGACUGUUAUAAUUUAAAGUUUUGCUCUAAACCUGAACUUGUGGGAAGAGUACUUGAUUUAAAGUCUAAGUUGUUAACGGAUAUGAUAUGGGAAGGUUGAGCUGCUGUUUAUCUGUUCCUAGAGAUGCUAGAAUUCUGGAGAAUUUUAUCUUUGAAAAUCUUUAAAAUAUUGCAUCAUGAGUUCCUGUAUGAUGAGAGUUUAAAAUCCUACCACAGCCACAUAUACAUGCUUAUGUGACUAUGAACGAUAUAUUUACUUUUUACUGCUUAUGAGCAUUGAGUGUGGUCAAGCUAUGUAGACCCUUAGGAGCUUGUCAUGCGGUUAUAAUCAAGAUUCACUUGCACGUCCACUCAUACAUGCUGCUUCUACUCCGGAAGUAUGCAUCCACAUACAUCCACUCAUUUCCAUCUCCAGAUUCACCCAAAAUUAUUCUACUCCUAUCCAGGAGAGAAUAGCCAAAAACAUUAUCCCAUUCCUUUUUUCCCUGUGAAAUAAAUGCUCGAGCUAUUUUGGUUACUACCACUUGCUACAUUAUUCCAGGAGGGUGAGUGCUCUGAAAAAAAAAGAAGAAAAAUACGAGGAAAUAAAAAGGGGCAAGUGCCCGGAACCUCGAAAGAAAAAAAAGUGAGACGAGAGGUAAAAAUGGACAAGUGUCUGAUAGUAGAAUUAGGGGUACAAGAUACCCACCUAAGAGAUAAGAAAAAAAAGAAAAUAUAGAGCAUCUCAUUCCCCUCAAACUUCAAAGUGCAAGAAAGGUAUGUAUCCCCUCAAAAGAGCAAAAGUAGAAUUAGACUUUCACCAUUAUUUUCACCAUUAUCACCAUCAUCACCAUACACCAUUCAUCCGCCACACAUGCACAUCUUGGUUUGACUUAUUGACUUGUUUCUCUGGAUCCAUGGUUUGACUAUGCAAUAAAUGUCUUGUAAGUAUGUAUUAGCUGUCUCCCACCUAUGAGCUCCAGAUAUCAAACCUUAUUAGAGUAGGGUGAGAGAGAAGGCAAUAUCACUAUGCCUCAUACAACAAAUACUACAUACUUUGAGAGAAGGCGUAUAUUAUCACUGCCUUGGUAAGGAUCCAGAAAUACCACAAAAGAGAGACUAGAGAGAGUCAUACAAGGAAUCUCUGAGUUUUAUUUGAAAAUCUGCAAAAACUCUAGAGCUAUAGUUGAUCAAAGAACAAGGGACAUGGUGCUUGACUUGACCGUUCUAUCUUUUAACUGCUCAAGACACAAGUGACGGUUGCAAGCCCCAUGGUGGAAGGUAAUAUGAGUAAGUUUAAAUCUUAACAGUUUACCCUAACCUAGAGACGAGAUCUUGUUUAAAUGCAUGUGUAGCUUUAAGGCAUAAAACCACUGCAGAAACUCUUAAGUCCAUCCUUGCUCAGGGACGAGCAAGAGGUAAGCUUGGGGGAGUUGUUGACGGUCCUUAAGUACCAAAUAUAAUCAUCAAAUAAAUAAAGAAAAGGAUCCAAAUGCAACCAACAGCCAGACUUAGGGUUUUAUCUGACAGAAUUCCACGAGUUUUGGUGUUUGUCUAUUUCUGCAGGGGGUUAUCAGGAAAUACGGAAGAAAGGCCCACACGUCGGGUUUACAUAGAGAUAUUAACGUGCUGCGCAAUUUUCUAUCAUCUAGAAGACUUCAGAAGACACGGGAACGAACGGGAGGCCGAGCGGGCUCGGGGGCAGGGCACCCGCCCUCCCCCUUGGGCGCCCACCCAGCUACAGAGUUGGAUCAGGACUCUCUUUCGGGAUGAUGUUCCACCUACCUAAAGGAUCAAGGAUAACCGUUCAAUCAAUGUCGGUUUGAUCCGACGGCCCAGGUUCACUUGAGGGGACUAUAUAACCAGACCCCCUAGCCCCUGGAGGAGGCACCCCUUGAUCACUAUUCAUUAUUCAUAGACAGAGCAAAAGCUAGGGUUUAGAGAUGAGAGCGAAGGAGGAUUAGAGGAGAGGCCGGACUGUCGGUUCUUCCUCCGGUUGUACUUCGUCAUGAUCAAGCUCUAAUCAAGCUUGCUCAUGGGAUGACUCUGGUAAUCUACUUCUAAUUCAUUAUGCAAUUACUAAUCAUGUAUGUUCUGGUUCACAACUCUUUUGAGUACUUCUAAUCUAUAGGACCCUAUAGGUUAGAGUUGUAGUAUAGCUGUAAGCGUGGUGCUUAGACCUAGAUUACUUGUUGAUAUCCCCUGUCUAGCUGGAUCGUGUGGUAGGCCGCGUAGGUGACAGUUACGUUGAUCCUCUGUAGUCCACCUCUCGUUAGCAGGACGGGUAGGGUUUAUCGGCCUAUGGAUAAGCAUCCUUUGUGGUGUAUUCUUAUCACGUGGUUCGUCCCAGACAUAGACAUACACCUUUGAAGUAGAGAAACCAUAGUUAUCCUCUCUAUUCUGCUACCAUCGCCCAUAUACUAGAUUACUCUACUCUCUAUUCCCAUAUUAUCAACCAUUGUUAUAUUACCUUUAAUAUUGUUCUUAUUCAAUUCUACCAUCUUUCCUAUUUACACUUAUCUGUCUAUCUUGGUUAAGUUAGAGCGUAGUUGGUUCUCCCGUUUCCCUGUGGAUACGAUAAAACAUUUAAUCGGGUAAAAGCUUCAACGGUAUCCGUGUGCUUGCGGAUUAUCUGUUUGCGUAUAAAUACCAUAGUACACUCUAGUGCCAUGCUGGGGAUGACAACCUAGUAUUCAAGUGGUGUUAGCAAGUGUCAACAACCAUCUGGAGAGCGUGGGCGGGAAGAUGCGUCUGCUUGGCGUAAAAUUGACACCCAUGGCACGAGCGUACGAGCUCGAUGGCGUCAGCUACGGCCGUUGGCCAGUCGAAGCCUUGUCAGAAAGCGUUCUCUACGAGGGUCCGCGGAGUAGCGUGGUGGCCACAAGCCCCCGAGUGUAGAUCCUCGAGGAGCUUUCGGCCUUCCUCUAUGGUGAUGCAAUGCUGCAAGAUUCCUGUCGGGCUUCGUCGGUAUAGUUCGUUGUCUUCACCGUAGAUUACGUAUGACUUGGCCCGUUGAGCGAUACGGUGGGUUUCGGAUCGAUCUUCUGGUAGCUUGUUGGGUAUUUUAAACGCAAACAGAAAAAUCCGCAAGCGCACGGAUACCGAUGUAGCUUUCACCCGGGAGUAUUCCAGAGUAUCGAUUUUCCACAGAGAACGUGAGUGUACUAAUUAAGAUCCAAGAUCGCCCAAGGAUAACUAUAUAAUUAUUUUUGGUGGGAAGAGAGGAAGUUUCCUGAGAGUUCUCUAGUUGAUCUAGAAUUACUUCAAGAAUAUCUAUAUCGGGACAUCAGAGCACUAACCACAGAAAGAGAUGAGAAGGGGGCUAGGAAGGUCUGACUACGGUCCUACAAACACCGAUCCGAACGAGGUGGAAUACGUCGACCGUUAGGGCUGUCACUACCCUAAGGCUACCACAACAAUCUGUAGGAUUGGGUGCAAUUCCAGGUAAUCGCAAGACUAAACACCAGGUCUAAUCUAUUAAUUACUACUCUAGCGUUAUAAAGACUAGAGCACUUGAUGCAAGCGGGAAUCCAAUAAAUAACUUGAAUGUAAAUAAAAGUAAUUAGAGAACUCAGGAAUAAUGAAUUGAAGAACCUAUAGAACGAUGAAGAACGAACCAGUUGCUGCAAAAGUACAAUGUUGAGGAAGAUCCGACAGAUCCGGCUCCUCCUCCGCUCUCCUCUUCUCUCUCCCUAUUUUCUAGAUUACAACUAGAACUAACUAGAACUAGAACUAGAGGAACUAGAACUAGAACUAGAUGAACUAGAACUAGAACUAGAUGAACUAGAGGUAGAAAUAGAAGAACUAGAGGGAUCCUCUCUACUUGGAUGAAGAAUUGAAACCCUAACUUUGAUUCUGUAGAAGAGGUAUGAUCUCCAGGGGCCAGGGGGUCUGGUUUUAUAGUCCCUUCAAGUGAAUAUGGACCGUUGGAUCAAACCGACAUUGAUUGAACGGUUAUCCUUGAUCCUUUAGGUCGGUGGAGCAAUAUCCCAAAAGAGAGUCCUGAUUGGACUCCGGCUGAGGGCGGGCGCCCUGCCUCCGAGCCCGAUUGCCUUCCCGUUCGUUCCCGUGGCUUCUGGAGUCUUCUAGAUGGUAGAAAAUUGCGCGGCACAUUAAUAUCUCUAUGUAAUCCCGACGUGUGGGCCUUUCUUCCGUAUUUCCUGAUAACCCCCUGCAGAAAUAGACAAACACCAAAACUCGUGGAAUUCUGUCAGAUAAAACCCUAAGUCUAGGUGUUGGUUGCAUUCAGAUCCGUUUCCAUGAUUAGUUGAUGGUUAAAUGUGAGCAUUAAGGACUGUCAACAAGCUCCCCCAAGCUUAACCUUUGCUCGUCCCUGAGCAAAGAUGAACUCAAUAGUUUCUGCAGUGGUUUCAUACCUUAAAGAUACAUAUGCGUUCAAACAAGAUCUCAUAUCUGAGUUAGGGUAAACUGUUAAAAUUUAAACAUACUCAUUUUACCUUCCACCAUGGGGCUUGUAACCGUCACUUGUGUCUUGAGCAGUUAAAAGAUAGAACGGUCUAGUCAAGCACCAUGUCUCUUGUUCUUCGAUUAACUAUAGCUCUGGAGUUUUUGCAGAUUUUCAAAUAAAACUCAGAGAUUCCUUGUAUGACUCUCUCUAGUCUCUCUUUUGUGGUAUUUCUGGAUCCUUACCAAGACAGUGAUGGUAUAUGCCUUCUCUCAAAGUAUGUGGUAUUUGUGGUAUGAAGCAUAGUGGCAUUGCCUUCUCUCUCACCCUACUCUAAUAAGGUUUUGAUAUCUGGAGCUCAUAGGUGGGAGACAGCUAAUACAUACUUACAAGACAUUUAUUGCAUAGUCAAACCAUGGAUCCAGAAGAACAAGUCAAUAAGUCAAAUCAAGAUGUGCAUGUGUGGCGAAUGAAUGGUGAUAAUGGUGAAAGUAAUGGUGAUAACAAUGGUGAAAGUCUAAUUCUACUUGUGCUCUUUUGAGGGGAUACAUACCUUUCUUGCUCUUUUCAAACUUUUUGAGGAGAAUGAGAUGCUCUAUAUUUUAUCUUUUUUUUUCUUUUCUCUCAGGUGGGUAUCUUGUACCCCUAAUUCUACUGUCGGACACUUGUCUAUUUUUACCUCUCGUCUCACUUUUUUCUAUUCUUUCGAGGUUCCGGGCACUUGCCCCUUUUUAUUUUCUCGUAUCUUUCUUUUUUUUCUUUUUUCUUUUUUUUAGAGCAGUCAUCUCUUGAAAUAAUGUAGCAAGUGGUAGUAACAAGAUAACUUGAGCAUUUAUUUCACAAGGGAAAACAGAAAUGUUUUUGGCUAUUCUCUCCCUGAUUAGGAGUAGAAUAUUUUUGGGUGGUUCUGGAGAUGGAAAUUGAUGGAUAUAUGUGGAUGCGUACUUCUAGAGUAGAGGCAGCAUGUAUGAGUGAACGUGCAAGUGAAUCUUGAUUUAACCACAUGACAAGCUCCUAAGGGUCUACACAGCUUGAACACACUCAAUGCUCAUAAGCAGUAAAAAGUAAAUGUGAAGCUCAAAGUCUAGUAAGCAUGUAUAUAUGGUUGUGGUAGGAAUUUAAACUCUCAUCAUACAGGAACUCAUCAUGUGUUAUUUUAAAGAUUUUCAAAGAUAAAAUUCUCCCGAAUUCUAGCAUCUCUAGGAAUAGAUAAACAACAGCUCAACCUUCCCAUAUCGUAUCCAUUUAACUACUUAGACUUUAGAUCAAGUACUCUCCCCACAAGAUUAGGUUUAGAGCAAAUCUUAAUUAAUAACAGUGAUGCCUAAACUUGAGAGAGAUUUCAAUUUUGAGAACUAGUCAUGGCAGAGCAACUAUUCAUCAUUUCCAUGUGAGAGUUUAUCAUGAGGGUUCAUAGCAAACUUUAUUUAUUUAUUUAGCAAACUAAGCAAAGAUAUAU